This 76975-nucleotide long non-coding RNA is filed under the name Prunus persica (peach). RNAcentral describes it as "long non-coding RNA (PPER_LNC003163)". Lineage: Eukaryota; Viridiplantae; Streptophyta; Magnoliopsida; Rosales; Rosaceae. The record is from RNAcentral.
UUUACUACUACUUCUCCAGGAUUUUCAGGCACCUCAGAUUCUCAAGCACAAAGAUAGAAUAAAGAUGUCAGAGUACCUUCCUCCAGAAAUCAUAACCCAAAUUCUUCUUCGGCUACCCAUCAAAUCUCUUCUUCGGUGCACCUCUAUCUGCAAAUCUUGGAACUCCCUAAUUAAACACACUAGAUUCAUCAACAACCACCUUAACCUCAAUUUAGACAAAACAAGCAAUUCCCCUUUGCUCCUUCUCAGGCACUGCCCCAAGGACCCCACUAGAGAGCUCUAUUCUCUACACUUAGACAAUGGUUCAUUCCAAGAACACUCAAAGCCAGAGCUUCCAGUUCAGAGCCUCAAUGAGUGUUUCCGAAUCGUGGGUUCGUGCAACGGAUUGAUUCUCCUCUCGGAUGAUUACCUCACAGAUUACAACAUGUUUGUUCUAUGGAACCCCUCCAUUAGAAAGUUCAUCACACUUGCCAAGCCUCAUGUCCCAAAAUCUCCCCAUCAUUCUGUUUAUGGCUUUGGCUUUGAUUCUAAGAAAAAUGAUUACAAGGUAGUAAGACUGGUGUAUCUCCACCAAAAUGAAGGCCAUGCUUGCCCGGAAAUCGAGCUUUAUUCGCUAAACUCAGGGUCUUGGAAAAGCAUUACAUCAGCUGCUCCCAGUUAUCUGAUUGCUCAAAAUUUUUGGGGUCAAGUUUUUGUCAAUGGGGCUGUCCAUUGGGUUGCGUCUUGUAAGAAAGGAAAUUGUUUUCGCAAUAUGGUUUUGUCCUUUGAUAUGAGUAAUGAGACUUUCCAGGAGAUUGAGCUGCCAGAAGACUUAGCUUGUGAGUUGCCAACUAAGUACAUGGCCAUUUCGGCUGCCGGCAAGUCCAUUUGUGUAAAGCACUUUGAUCAAAAUAAACAUACUAUGUGGGUUUUGAGAGAGUAUAGGGUCGUGGAAUCUUGGGAAAAGCAAGUCUCUAUAGAUGUACAUGGCACUCCCAAUUUCAGAGUCCUGCAGGUUUUAGGCUGUAGGAAGAAUAAUGGUGAGUUUCUAUUAGAAAGGUAUGACCAUGGAAGAAAGAUUGGAGAGUUCGUCUCUCAUAAUCCCAAGAACAACACAAAUGAGUGUCUUGGAAUUCACACAGAUCCAGGGUAUUCGUGUAUUGUAUAUUACACAGAAAGCCUAGUUUUACUCGAUAAGACGAGCUGAUCGAUGCAGAUUUCAUGGAGGAAGAAGAGGAAGGAACCGAAAAAUGUAGGUGCUUUGUUUUCUUGUUCAUUAUAUCUUGAUAUAAUACUGUAUGCUUCCUCAUUGGAUUAUAAGUUUCUUUUAUGUGUGUGUCUCUUGAUGAUGAGAGCGUUCUACAAACAAAAUAGAAGAAUUUCCUUUUUCUGUUGGAUUUGGUUAUAGUUUGGAUGUUAGAUGAUGAUCUUGGACUCAAAAGUUUCCAGUUUAUGAGAUAUAUAUGUAUGUGUCAGGUCAGCAAGAAUACGACUUUGUUAAUAAACGUCUCAAACCAUUAAUAAAUAUAAUUCGGGUUAAUGUAAGUUUCCUAAUAAAUAAAAUGAAUUUGGAAUGAUAGGACACAAAAAUAACUCAAUCACCACCAUAACCCCUAAAACUCAAGUGCUAAUUUGACAUUCUUGCCCAAUCCAGCCUUUGCCCCUCCUUCCUCUAGCAAAAUCCCCAACAACACAAUAACAAUCAUCCAAUGAAUCACUAGGCAAGCUCGGGAACUCCACUUUCCUUUCGAAGAAGCUCUAACCUCCAUGUUUAGUCUUCUGUUUUCAUCUUCCUCCUUCCUCAAUCUUUUCAAAAGUCCAAGUACCAAACUCUUGGAGGGUUCAUAUAUCUUUGGAUGAUACCGGUCAAAGAAUGUGCAACCUUCUCUUUUCUACACAGCGAAAACUAAAAUAAGAAAAAAAAAAAAUACAGGUAAACUUUGGUAAAUAAAAGAGAUCGAUACACUUAUGCACUUCUCCCAAGUUAUCUUCAGUCCACGAAGUCAUCAAAAAAACAUUUAUUUUCACAUCGAACCCUGGGUGCGUCCAUUUCUAUUCUCAAAUUUGUAAACAAGGUACUAUGGAUCCAAUGUUGUUGAUUUGGGGCUCAUUUCGGGUAUAUUAGUUAAAUCAAGAAUUCUAUAGUGAGGGUCUUGUAUAUGGCCCUUAGGUGAGGCCCUAUCUCAUAACCGUUGGAUCAAAUUGGUUAGGGUGAUCCAACGAUUAAGAGAUAGGACCUCGCGUAAGGGCUAUAUAUAAGGCCCUCACUAUAGAAUAACUCUUGGUUGAACAGUAGUGGCAGGCCAACAUAAGCCCUCUAAUUGUUUUGUCCACAUCAUCGGCAAACACAUGUCGGUCCUCUAAUUGUUUUGUCCUCUCAAAAAAAAUAGGGUGCUAUGACUGAAGAGAGUUUAGUCUUUUGUCAUAACACAUGACCCAACAAUCUUCUUAAAUGUAAUAUUUUUAUGUAUGAGUAUGUAAAUGCCUAACAAAAAGUGUGAUCAGGCAUUAAUUGUUUAGCUUCUGUACAUGAAACUGUAAAGCUUCCCAAUUGGAAUAUUAAUACCAAUAUAAUUAACACGAUCUAAUACUGAUCAAUUGAUCAUUAAUCAUGGGUUUUGUAUGUUAUUAUUUCUAUUUCUGUUUUUGUUAUUAUUGUAGUAAGUUACUGAGUAUAUUCAUGUUCCCAUGAAUUUGUGGGAGCAACUGGUUUAACUUUUAUAUUUAAUUAAUGCGUAAUUCAUAAUUACGAUUAAUUAGGGAAAGGGGAGUGAUCACCUACAUCUCAUCCCUGUACCUGUAGAUUGACAAUUGACACUGCAUUAAGGACCUAUUUGACGUUGAUACCAGACCCUAUUUCCUGCCACCAAAAAAGAAAAGAGCUCCUGUCUCUCCCAGCAGCUUGCAAUCUUGUCACCUGUAUCAACAUUCAUGCAGUUACAACGUUUCAAGUAUAAUCCUAAUUCAUGAAAAAGUCAGAUGUUCACUGCAAUUUUUGUUUUCCUAUUUACCAACAUAUACUUCUUCAGAGAAUUGAUGUAAGCGCCACAAUGAGAAAUUCUUUUGUUGAGAUUCGACAGAGUCAAACAAACCAGCAAAUAAACAAACAGUGAUGCAUGCAAUAUGGUUUCAUAAAAUUCAGGGCAGAAAAGUGCAACACAUUCUGUCAUUGCAGCAUCUCACUUAGUGGUCUUUAUCUCUAUGAUACUGUGUCACAUUCUAUACAAAGCCUAACUAGAAAAUAGAGUGGUUAGAUGAUAUGGCCUUUUAAUUGCCUUCAUAGAUAUGACCUCCUCUUUUGUUUCUUAUUUAAUAUCUUACAUGUGAAUUUUUUUUGAAAAUACAGUGAUAAGAUCAUAUUGUGUCUAUAAAGCCCUCAAUGAUAUACGUAAAGACUAAAAACUAGGGCAAGCAAUCUAAAUCACCAUAGAUGGGAAAUGGUAAAACAAAUUUCCAGAAAGGUUAUUUAUUCACUUCCGAACACUUUCUCACAAGCUAUUUGAUGAUCAGUGACAGUUGGAGAGGAGAAGGAAUGAUGGUUUAGAGUGGAUGAGAAGAGAAAAAAGAGAGUAGGUAAGGGUACUUACAAGCCGUUCACAAAAUGGUUUUUUGACUCUACAGGCCUCUUCGAGUUCACGUUGCUUUAUAUACGACAUCGACACCACCUCUGAGGUUAUUUCCUUCUUCACUUCCUUUGGAAAGCAACUGAGAAUUUGUUCGUCCUCCAAAGACAGAGCUCUAGUCCCUCCCAGCAGCUUGUAUUCUGCACCUGUAUUAACAAUUGUGAUGUUUAAAGUAAAGGCAACAUAUAUCAGUUGUUCCACACAAUUUAAAUUAUUUAACAAAAAAUUCUGAUGAUGAGCAUGCAAUAUGCUUUCAGAAAAAAAGAAAAAAAAAAGAGGUGCCAUGACUAAAGAGAGUUUAGUCUUUUGUCAUGGCACCCUAUUUUUUUUUUCAAAUUCAGAGCUAAAAUCCAAAAAGACAAAAAAAAAAAAAAAACAGUUUACAUUUUAUUUCAGAGCAGAGUAUUUCUUGUUACUUUAGGCACCAAUAAAACAGUAACUUCUAUUCAGAAAGUCUCAGAACAAACUGAAUUUUCUACCAUCAUAUUCAUCAUGUCAGACAAAUUGAAUUUGUUAGCAUUUGACAAUGUGAAACAUCAAACGCAGACCCAAAACAUGAAACAAAAGAAAAGGUUUAGCAUUUGAAUUCAAAGAAGAGUGUUCCCUUUUAUUUUAGGCACUAAUGCAACAUAAGUAACUUCUAUUCGUAUAGUAACCAUGUUUAGUCCUAUUUAGUGCAUUAACAAGUUAAUGCCUGUUCAUUUAGAAUGUAUCAAACAAUAUACAUCAUUAACUGAAUAAAAUAUCGAAAUAAAAUAUUUCAAUUAUCAUUUACAUACUAAAGAUUUUAACAAAAUUUCCCCAACAGAAAGGUUUUACAAGCAAGACGGCUUAUGAUGGCGGUAGAAAAAUUAUCUAAAGUGUUUCUGUAUCGAAAGAUGCAGAGAAGUAAUCCCUCCCAAAGAAUUACGCCUUCCCUAAUCACCACUUGAAAUGGAAAAUAUCAACAAUGACUAUCCAACCUGGAACUCCGCCAUACUUCAUUCUUAAACCACAAUAGCAAAGCACUAUCAAUUGCUUCACUGCUGCAUAAAUAUCAUUAACAUGAAAAGGAUCAUGUAUCCUAUAAAAAAUAUUAACAUGAAAGUGAAAGCAACUAAAACUACUAAAAUAUUAACAUGUAUCCUAUAAAUGAAGGCAUUACUACUAGAAUGAAACAACGGAAAUCCCCCAUUUUCAAAGCUUUUCAUCGGUUGAUAUAAGCCAUAAGGCCACUCCUCAUGACAACCUGGAUCAAUAGAAAAUAUUUUUGUCCAAGAUUUUUCUUCACCACAAUCUUUCAUUACCCACACAUACAUAGGAUACAUAAAAGCAACUUCACACACACAAAGGCAGUCACCUAAAACUCCCAUGCUAACCCGAUACUCUCUUUGCAGUUCAAAAGGAGGUGGCUGAACUGACUGAAAACUCCCAGUGUCCAUGUCAAAAGAAUCUAUAUAAGGCGAUGAAAGCCAACAGCAAAACCAAUAAAGCGCUCCUUUCAGAUAGGUGGUGAAGUGGUGAAUUCUACUUUAUUUUUGAAGGGAGCAAAACCUAAACAUUCCCAUGAGCCUGUACCAAGUGUUUAUACCUCGGCUGCCCUAAAGGGAUCCAGUGUUCCUUGCUCAGAGAUUCUUAUCACCUUGUACUGGUUAGUCUUCGGACUGAAACCAAAUCCACAAUCAAUAGAUCGCUUUACAUACUCAAGCUUAAAAACUUCAGGAAGGUGUAUAUACUCACCGGUUAUUGGGUUGCACACAACAACAGCGUCAUUGAUGAAUGGUUUAGACAAGCAAAGCAAUCCGUUACACGAAUUCACCACCUCAUACUUGUGACCAGCUGGACAUACCUUGAUGCAAAGCUUCUUUUUAGUUCCAGAUUUCCUAUUGGCAUCAUUGUGGGUAUUGAGUACCUCCUCAGCAUUGCGCAAUGGGAUUUUAUAUUUGGCAAGAUUCAUGUGGAACUGAUGCCCGUUGCACUCAUUAAAAAGAAAGUCAGAGGCAUCUUAACACGUACAGUUGCUGUGCUCGAAAUCAAAAUCAGAGCUAUCUUCAGGCUCGACCAGAUAAAGGGUUCUUGACACACAAGUUGGAUUAGAGGGCCGGGCCAAAGGGUAGGACUCUGCUUGUGCAAAGUGCAGCUUAGCAAAUUCAUGGUCUGAAAUUAGCCCAUUACUUGAAUCUGUUCCUCUUUGUUGCCUAUUUCUAUCGCAUUAUCUGCUGGCUUUCUUUUCCUGUUCAUUGCAAUUCUCUGGGUCUGAGAAAUGGACAAAAAAAGAAUGGAUGAAAAGGAAACCAUCGGUAUUUAUAGAACCCUGAAAUCAUAUUGUUUCAGAAUCCCACAUCUUACUAUUGAAAUCGGACUGACAGAAGCCUAUGACUUUAAUUUCUUCUUAAGCAUAAUUACUGCUAAAGAAACAAUGAUAUGCAGAAAGAUAUAAUAUAUGACCCAACGAAAAAUGAGAAUUUCAGUGUAUCAAAUGAUAAAAACGAAGAACUAAAUUACAAUUGCGAAGAUAGAUACAGAGACAAAGUUUAACAUCAUAAAACAGCGAAAGAGGACUUGGAAGUGAGUGAGAGAAUUACCUGCAGCACUGUAGCCCUACUUCAAUUUUCAGAGUGACGGGACGGACGCACGGGGGGACAAAUGGGGUCAGACGACCUUAUGGCAGCCGGGAAAAGUAGUGGUGAAGCUCCGGUGCGACCCUAUGGCGCGCUGGGUCGCACACCAAGUGCUCGACGAAAUGCCCAGCAGAGGAGGAAGAAGCCUGCGCGCAGCGCCUGCCUUGCUCAGCGCGCGCGCGAGCUAUAAUUAUUUUUUAAACCACCUGGCCAAAACGACGCCGUUAAUAUUUUGUUUUAAAACCUGGCUUCAAAACGAAGCCAGGCUUUAAAAAAAUGAAUCGCCAACCAACAGCAGAUUUUCUUCCCCUCCCGAUUCCAGCAGCCCUUCAUUGCCAAAAGAUCCAAUUUUUUUUCAAAAUUCCAUCUCCUCUCAAAACACUAACUACUCCCCAACCUCCACCACACCACCACCAACCAAUACAAGCCGCCACCGUCGCCGACGACCUCUUGCCGCCUCUGCCAUCGCUUCUCAUAAAGUCAAGUCAGUGAUAGUUUUACAUAUAUUAUUUUCGGCUUUGGAUAAUUUUAAUGAAAUUGAUAUAUAUUUCAUGAAUUAUAAUUUAUUGGUAUGGUGAAAUUGAUUGAUUUUCUUUAUGAAUUAGAAUUUUUUGAUAUUGAAUUAUUUUGUUAUUUGGAUAAUUGUAUUAGAGUUUAUAUUGAUUAAUAUUAUUAUUUGGAUUAGAUUAGAGUAGUCUUUAUAAUUGAUUGAUUGAAUUAAUUUAUGUGUAGAAAAAAUUUAUUAUGGAACGAUACUUUAAAAGAAAAGUGUCUACGAAUGGUGAGUCUAAUUCGGGUAGUUCAAAUGCAAGAGCAAGACCUAUUGAAUUAGAUGAAAUAUUGGCUAAUCUUCAGGCAGACCCUGGACUAAGAACUCAAAUGAUGGAUUAUAGUCCUAAUUAUCGAGAUGAGAUCCGAAGAGCAUAUCUUCAAAAAGGACCUUUUCAACCUAAAGGUCAUAGAUUCCCACAAACUAAUCAGUUAGGAAUUAAUAGACGGUUCAUUGCCCAAUGGUUUGAUGCGUUUGAUUGGUUGGAGUAUAGUAUAGUUAAAGAUGCUGCAUUUUGCCUCCAUUGCUAUCUCUUUAAAACUAAUUUUGAUCAAGUGGGUGGUGACACCUUCACUGGGUAGGCUUCAAUAAUUGGAAGAAGGGGAGAGAAAGGUUUAACAUUCAUGUUGGACCGGUUGGUAGUGUUCACAACUAAGCUAAAGAAGCUACUUACAAUUGAUGAAUAAAAAAGCACACAUUGAAAGAUUUUUCAAAUAGAGCUUUAUUAAUGUUUGAAGAUCAACUUGGGGUUUAUGUUCAUCAUAUGCAUUCGAGUAGUAAUUUUUCUGAAUUACAAGGGAUUAACAUGCUUGCGGAAAAAAUGGUGAAAAAAUGUGUAUUUGCUUAUUACAUUGACUUUGGUUUUACCAGUUGCAACUGCUUCAGUAGAGAGGUCAUUUUCCGCCAUGAAUAUUAUCAAAAAUUCACUUUGCAACAGAGUGGGAGAUCAAUAGUUGAAUGAUAGCUUGGUUGUUUACAAUGAGAGAGAUGUUUUUGUUUGUAUUGAUAACGAAGCUAUAAUGCAACGUUUUCAAAAUAUGAAAACUCGUCGUGGACAAUUGUAGCUUGUAUUUGCCAUGAAUUAUGAAUGGAAGUACUUUUUUUUUCUUAAAAAAAAAUUUCGACACUUUUACACUAAGACCCAAUGAGUUCAUAAUCCUGCAUUCGCCACUGCGGAGUGAGAGAGAGAAACCUAACGCCUAAUUUAAAAUUUGAGGUUUGUGUUGGGCGGGAAAAGGAAAGAAGACGGUGACCUUUUCUUUUAGCCCAAUGGACUUGCAAUUUGAGCCUAAUAAUAAGUCCAAGCGAUAUCUUUACCAAUUGCAGUUUUAAAAGUUUGGGUUAAUUACUCAAAUGGUCCUCAAAUUUGCACCCGAUUUACAUUUUGGUUCCCAAAUUAAUUAUUCAUUCAAAUGGUCCAUCAACUCUAUAUUAUUCGGUCCAUUGGUCCCACGGUCUAAUUUUCUAUUAGAUUUAACCAAACUUUAGAGUAAAUAUGACUUUUCAUAAUUAACAAAUAAAAAUAAGGUUAAAAUAAGCACAAAAUUUGAAAAUUUUGAAGAAAAAGAGAAAAAAAAUCAUGAGACCCAAACCCACUCCCCCAUUCCUCCACAGACCUUUCCCCCUUCUGUUUUUCCCCUCUGAUCUCUGCUUCUACCUCUCUCUCUCUUUCUCCAAAUUCAAAAACCAAGAAAUUGGAAAAAAAACAAAAAAUUAAUUCAAACAUUGUUUGCAUAUGUAGGUUGGUUGCAAUGAUGAGUUUUGGGUUUGUGGGUGAAAAACAGAAUAGGGGAAGAGGGGGGAGGGGUUUGUGGGGUGGGGAUUCUGUUGUGGUAAAAUUUGGGAGGCUGGUUGGGUGUGGCUGUAUUUUUUAGUAUCUUGAGAAUAUUUUUUGGUGGAUGAGGGGUGGUUGCUGGGUAGGGAGGAGAGUGGUGGGUGGUUGUCUCUUAACAACGAAGUGAAAUUUUUUUGGGGGGGGAGGGGGAAGGGGGAGAAGGUCUGGGUGGUUAGGGUUCUAGUUUCUUAGCCCAGCACAAAUAAUUGAUCGCAAAAGGAGCCCAAUUGGGAUAUAAGAUAAUUCGUAGGACACACUUGUGCGAGCCAUGGGCCACACGUCACGCCAAGCAAAUGUGCACGCCAGACACGCAAAAGGGCCAAAACGCACCAGCUCUAUAAAUUCAUGCUUACUAAUCUAUCCAAAGCUACUUGACUAGAUCAUAGCUUAUUGCGUCACAAUAAAACUCAAGCACAAGCAUGCUAAAUAAACACGCAAUGCCAUGUAAAGGACCGCUAUUCUAAUACCAAGUUGUGCUACAGUAGGCCCAAUCAGCGUAAUUACCCGAGGCUUCCUGAGAAGGUUUUGGUAUGGAUGGAAACAAGCACUCACAGUGCCCAUUGAGGGUUCAAGGAAUGAAAGUUUUAGGCCACUUGGGAGCACUAAAACUCAAGCCCAUUCCUCGGGCCCAAACACAUGGGUUAGCACGAGAGAAAGAAAAAAAAAAGUGAUCCAAUGCCCUAGGAGAACAUCUAAUAGUCUGCUGCAACACUUAGACAAACCCACAUCAAUUAAAAUGCCCAAAAUAAAACAAAAGGACUACUUCCAGUAGCUUGAUGAAAACCCACAGGACGCUAGAAAUAGAGUACCAAUAACCCAAUACUGUAAACAAAGCCCAACCCAGUGCCUUGUAAAAAUCUAGCAUCGCAUUCCACCCUUGUCAAAGCUCCAUAACAGUCAACGAGAACGCAUUGUAGGAACCAAAGAAAAUCCAUAUGUGUAGAAGGAGUACCCAUUGGACAAAAGACUCUAUCCAUUCUCUUUUCCUAUGUGAGCUCUAAUUUGAAAAUCAAGGAAGAAAGCAGGUGGCGCCUCACCCCCAUAGGGGAGGUCCAGCCACACAAAAAACCUUGGUACCCCAAAGAGCCUAUGACCCAUGCGCUCUAGUUAAAGAAAUUUCACCAAAAAGGAGUGAGUGGAAAGAAGUAGGCUUGGGCACGGAUCGGUUCGGAACGGUAGAAGGCUCUUCCGUUAACCAAACUAAAAAUUUCGGUAGACCAUUUUCUCUUUCAUUAACCAAAUCAAAGGCUUCUGUAGACUUCGGAUCGAUUAACCUAAUAUUCGGUUCGGAUUGGUUCGGUACACCGGUAGUACCGUAAUAAAAACAUACUAAUAAAAAUGCAAUUUAUAAUACUUUCACAUAACAUAAGUUCUUGAACAAAUACACCAAAUUAUCCUUGUAAAAUAUAAAAAUCCAAUUGUCUAAUUCAUCCAAGUAUGAAAUCAAAUAACUUAGUCACUAUAUCAUUCAAUAUAUACUUAAGAUGUACUAGGAGCCACUUGUGUUUAUUGUUUGAAUAUUUGAGUGUUGUUUUUACUGAAUUCUCUACAUUUAUGUAAGUGAUUUUGACAUUUGUUCCUCGCUGGAUUCUUUAGUUUUUCAUGCUGAAUUCAACCAUAUAAAAAACAUAAAAUUUGGAUCAAUGGUUGGAAAGUUACAAGUAAAAAACGGGACAAAGGUCGAAAUUGGAAAACAUCGGAAAUUCAUAAUUUCACCCUCACAGAUCUCAAUGCAGCUAUCCAUGCUAUGGGAGAACCCCAGAGGGAGAUGAUGGACACCAUCAAAGAAUUGAAAAGUUAUGUCUCUAAGCCGAGCGACGAAAAUGACAGACACCCACAAAAGGUGUCCGCUGCUGUUGGCUGAACAAAAAGGACCAUAUUUUGUUACCUUGGAGGAUGUUGUCGCCAUGCCGGAAAAGGAGCUUAGCGGAAGCCAAGAAGAUUGGAAGUACAUUCCUCAGCCACCAUAUCUAUCGAGCUUACUUCAGUAGCCAUAUCCUCAAGGUUACGAGGCACUAAGUUUUGUUCUCUUCGAUGGAAGGAAGGGAAGCCCAAAAGAGCAUGUCAACAGUCUCAUUGAUGCUUUGGGACCUCAUGCUGGUGAUUAUAAUCUCCAACUCCGAGAGUUUUCAAAAAGCCUUACCGAUCGGGCUUAUACGUGGUACACAACAUUGGCACCAAGCUCUGUUCGCUCUUGGGAGAAUUUCGCAAGCAGGUUCUGUAAGAAAUACUUUCAGUAUGAGGAAAGAGUAACUAUCACUCAACUCAACAACACUCGCCAAAAACAUGGGGAAGAUCCCUUGGACUUUGUACGCAGGUUCCAGGACUUGGCCCUGGAUUACUAUGAAGAAAAGGAUGAGGAGGCACUUGUCGAGAUCUGCAUCAGCAACAUCGUGGCAGAUUAUAGAGUUUAUUUGGAGAAUAUUGGUAUCAGUUAAUUUCAAGAGGAGUGAGAAGAAGGAAGCGCAGCAAACGCUAGCUAUAGAUGACAAGCCAUCCAGUGACUACAACUCACGCAAACGGAAGGAUAGGGAGACAUAUCCGCCAUUACAUGCAAAAAUGAAGAAUUCCACGCCAUCCUCGAUACGAUGAUUGCUGAUGAUGCAAUCAAGCCUUUCAGACCCUACAAAGUUCCCACUAGAGAAGAGAAGAAUGAUCCUAGGUAUUGUCGUUAUCACCAAUUCGUGGGGCAUCCGACCACUGCUUGCCAAACUCUAAGAAGGAUCUUACAUGCUAAAAUACAUGAAGGAGUUCUUGAGCUUCCCUCUAGGAAGCAAACCAUUGAUGAGGACCCCUUGCCAAAAUGAAGAGGGAAGGAGACAGCCGCUGUUAUCACAUGCUCCGACAAUGAUGAAUUGUGUCACCCAUGGAAGAACGACCCAAAGCCACCAAAAUCUAUUUGGGAACCUUGCGGAAACAUGGAGAAGGCCUACUGGUGUAAAUACUCAAAACCUUCAAGCUACAACACGCCAUGGCCACUCGUUGAUGGAUAAGCUGGUUGUGCAGACAAUGAAGUGUUCAUGUUGGACAUGCCGGAAGAGCGAUGCUUGGAAGCUUCGUUUGGGCAGUAGGAAACAACUGUUGUAAUGUUCCACACUUUUACAAAAGCAGAAAAAACGGUAAUGGAGCGUUACCUAGGUUUGAAGCAAGGGUCCACAGCUUCACAAGUCCUCCAAAGAAACCCAAAGUUCAAGACCAACUUGGCUUUAGACCACAAGCAAGGGAAGCCGCUGCUGUAGCUUUCAUGAACGUUUCGGCAAAAUCUAACCCCUAUUGCUUCACUACUCAACCACAAAGGUCAUUCUUAGAAAAAGACAAUGCUAUUGUUUUCACAGACGAAGACAUGGAGGUCCCGUAUUCGGAUCACAGGAGGCCACUCUAUUUAGAGGGACAAAUCAAUGAUGUGUUUAUAAGGAGAGCUUUGGUGGAUAUGGGCUCUUCUGUCAAUAUUUUGCCUCUAUAUUGACUUACAGCAGCCGGUAUUCCAUUAUCCAAGAUUGUGCAAUCCCAAACAAGCAUCAGUGGUUUCGGGAAUAAGAGUGAGGUUACAAUCGGUCACAUGCAAGUAAACUUGAAAGUGGGGCCAAUCCGGUCUCUUACCAAGUUCUAUGUAGUAGACGUGGAUGUGGCUUACCACGCUUUACUCGGAAGGUCAUGGCUCAACAAGCACAAACUUGUGGUAUCUACUUACCAUCACUGCGUGAAGGGAAGGAUUGGACUGAGGCCACUUCGCAUACCAAGAAAUCAAACACCGUUCAACAAAAACGAAGCUCACUACUCCGAGGCGGAAUUCUACACCGAAUGCACGGGUACUAGAGGCAACCCAUCCAAAGAUUUUAGGACCUACCUACCUUCAUAAACUGAAAUCCGUGAUCUGAGCAAUGAGGAACUUAUAACCAUUGUGGAUCGAGAAAAAAUAGGCACUCGGAGGUCAACAACCAUGCUUACGAUCAACCUCAAUGAUUGAAAGUAAUGCUGCCGGAUGGACGUACGGUGUACUGCUUAUGACAGGUUUGGGGGCAAGACCGUGUUCUAUGAGAAAGCCACAAGUAUGGUGAAGAAGUGAUGCAAACGGAUAGCCAUAAAAGUCCCAAGGAUAAAACACCUAUGCCUUGCGCUUUCCAAGAGCCUAUGAUGGCACCCAAGCAUAUGCAAGAUGGCUCAACGGCAUGUGCGAAGCAGCUGGAAACAAUCAAUUUGAGUGAUGACCCCUCUGUCUAAAGGCCCAUCUCCAUCAGCAUUCACUUGACAAGCGAAGAGAAAGAAGCUUUGGUAUCUCUGUUAAAGGAAUUUCGAGAUGUGUUCGCUUGGAGCUACGAAGAAAUGCCCGGCCUAAAUCAAAACUUAGUAAGUCACACUUUGAAUAUCGAGCUUGGCACAAAACCUGUUGUGCAGCCAAGAAGGAAUUUUCAUUCUAAAAUCAAAAACCAAAUCAAAGUAGAAUUUGAGAAGCUAUUAGCUGUUGGGUUCAUCAAACCAAUCAAGCACCCAACAUGGCUAGCAAAUAUUGUUCCCGUGAAGAAGAAGACUGGGGUGAUUAGAUGUGCACGGACUAUCGAGAUCUCAACCGAGCUUGCCCGAAAGAUGAAUUCCCACUGCCCAAUAUGGAUAUCUUGAUUGAUUCGACCUCGGGGCAAGGCUUGCUGUCAUUCAUGGACGGAUUUAGUGGCUAUAACCAAAUAAAGAUGUCACCAAAGGAUGCCGAGAAGACAGCCUUUCGAACACCAUACAAGAAUUUCUAUUACACAGUCAUGCCAUUCGGUCUCAAGAAUGCCGGUGCUACUUACCAAAGGGCCAUGACAACAGUAUUCCAUGAUAUGACGGGAAAAGAGGUGGAAGACUAUGUGGACGACCUUGUGGUGAAGUCAAAAAACAGAGGAAGCCAUCAGGAGGUUCUAAGGAAUGUGCUGGAAAGGUAUCGGUUGUAUGGGUUGAAGAUGAACCCAAAGAAGUGUGCAUUCGGAGUCUCAUCCGGCAAGUUUCUAUGGUUUCAAGUGCAUCAACGAGGUAUAGAUGUGGACCCUGAGAAAACUAAGGCCAUAAACUCUCUUGCACUACUUAGGAACCCAAAGGAAUUGAAGAGUUUCAUGGGAAGACUGUCAUACAUUCAACGUUUUAUCCCAAGCCUCGCUGCCAUGAUGAGCGUCUUCACUCCUUUACUCAAGAAGGGAAAACCAUAUGUAUGGAGCAAGGAAUGCCAAGAAGCUUACCAGCAAGUGCAACAAUUGAUCGCCAAGCUGCCCACAAUGAACGCACCCAUCCGGGGACUUCCACUUAAGCUUUAUUUGGCUGCAACGAAUGCUGCAGUUGGGGCUUUGCUUGCCCAAGACAGUCAUGAUGGGGAGGAGAGCCCCAAUUUUGGAACAUCACGUACUUUCUUUAGUGUAUUCAUACAGAGGUGCACUACUACAAAAAGUGAAAAAGACGACCAGAAAACAACGACGGUCUAAGUGAAAACCGUCGUGGUUUAUAAAAAGACGACGGUUCUAAAAACACCGUCGUGUAAUACAACCUUAGACAACUAAAAAAUGGAGUUUCAAAUGGCUGUUCAAAAACAACGACGUACAUAAUUAAACAACCGACGUCUAUUUGAAACAGAUUUCCUCAGUGUAAAAUCAAUGCCAACAAAGAACGGCAGAAGUUAUGAAUCGACCGACGUAGAAAGUAAAGACGACGAUUUCAAUAAAAACUGCCGUUUUUACUCAUAAAAUAACACGACGAGGUUUUCGUAUAAGACGCCGUAUAAUUACAAACAAAUCCACGGCUUUAAAAUACAAAAUAUCGCCGUAUUAAAUUAAUUUACAACGACGGAAAAUAUAAAUAUAUCGACGUCAUUCUCGUAUAGUUCUACUACGUUAUCUUUAAAUCGUACAAUAAAAUUUAUCGUCGUAUUUAUUCAUUUUAUACGUCGUACCUUUAAUUUUAACGGUCGUCUUAAUAAGAAUUUUUGUUAACAAUUUUUUUCUUUGAUUUUCUUAUCCUACGUCGGUAGAUCUACUUAAUGACAAGAAUUGAAAUAACCACGACGGUUUAUAUAGAACACCGCCGACAUAAUCAGUUUUGUCUGAGAUCCCAAGGGUUACGAAAUCUUACCAGAUGGAACUCUGUUCCACAUCAUAAUCUUAACAGAUGACACAGAUUUGCAAAUAUUGCGUCGUGUUAGUUUACAAAUUCUAGAACAUUAAUUUCCCUCAUUUUAAAUUUCCUCGGGAAAGAAAAAUCUAUUUAUCACGCUUUGGAAUUGAAAACUAAAACUGAAAGAAUACGGGAAAAAAAACUCCAUUUAUAAUUUAAAAUUAAAAUCCACGUCGGUUGUAGUACACUUAACGACGUUUAACAAAAUAAUCUACGUCGGUAAUUAUAAAUCUACCGCCAUCGUAACUUAAUAUAGACGACGAGAAAAGACGACGGUAGAACAGAAAACCGCCGUUGUUUCAGUUUCUUUAACAUAUCUUUCUGCAGGACUUGUGUAGUUCAAAGCAUUGACAAUGUCUUCAUCAUAUCUCCCAGAAACUACUGAUUCAAUUGCUCAUGCUUUAGAGGCCAUCUGAAGCCAUUUCUAUUCUUUAUCGCAUUCUUGAAACCCAUCUUCUUCUUCUGAAGCUCUACGGAUAAAGGAAGAGGCUAUCACAAUAAAUCCGACGGAUCUUCUUAGGCAAGAAAAUCAAGCAGAGGAUCAGGCACAUCUGAUCUUCAGAUUUCCCUGAGAAGCGAACUUUCCUUCGACAGCGAGUGGAGGCCAGGCUUGCAUCUCUUUUGAUGGAAAGCAAGGAGUAUUCAGAAGCACUAAGUGUCCUAUCAGGCUUGAUCAAGGAAGUGAGAAGGCUAGUUGACAAGCUUCUUCUUGUGGACAUAUAUUUGAUUUCUCUUUGAGAAAACAUCCAAAUUAUUAUCUUUGAGACAUGAGAGACUGAGAGAGGAAGAACUUGGAACCUUAAAUGUAAACCGAAAAUGAAUGAAAGCGACAAAUUUAUAGAAUAAAUUUUUAAAACCAACGGCGGUCCUUACAAACAAACCGCCGUUUAAAUUGUAAAAUCAACGUCGGUAUGAUCGACGUAUAUUACAGAAAUCCACGUCGGUAAAUUAAUAAAAACGACGUGUUAAAUAAUAUACCAUGACGCGAGUUAUUACUUAUGUACUUUAAUUUUUGAGUUUACUACGACGGUACCUACAAACUACUGUCGUAUUUAUUUACCACGUCCGAAGUUAAAUGUACCGUCGUAUUUUGUAAUUUAUACGUCGUAGUUAUAUGUAACCGCCAUAUUAUUUUUUUGAAAUGGUUUUAUAUGUAAGCAACUUUUCGUCUACUUGACUUACACAUUUGUUGUUUUUAUAUUCUUAUUUUAUUUAAAUCUGUCAUCCAAAAAAGAAACUUUACAUAUUGCAGAAUAUUAAUUUCCUUCGUUUUAAAUUUCCUCCGGAAAAAAAACUCUAUUUAUAACGCACUGUAAUUGAAAAAUAAACUGAAAGGUCACGGGAAAAAAAAUUCUAUUCAUAAUUUAAAAAUUAAAAUCCACGUCGGUUAUAUUAAACCUAACGACGUUAAAUGAAAUGAUUCCACGUCGAAUGAAAAAUAUUGCGUCGUUUUAGUUAAAAACGACGUAGUUAAAUGUAACCGCCGUAUUAUUUUUUUGAAAUGGUUUUAUAUGUAAGCAACUUUUCGACUUACACAUGCACUGUUUCCAAACCCGAUUAAAAAUUUCAAUCUCCCAGAGAAACCUUUUAGUCUUUUUUCCUUGUCAGAGCAUUGUCAGAGUUUCUCAUCGUCUUCCUCUCGUCUUCUUCGUCGUCUCUGAACUUAAACAUCGAUCAUCUUCCUCUUGCUUUCAUUGCACGCAAAAGGUAAGCUUUCAUUUUCACUAUUUUGGUUACUGUUUUGCAUGCUCAUACGUUUUUUGUUUGAAAAAUCUUUUUACCUUUUUUCUGGCCAAAAUCAUUUUACUUCUUUCCAAGUUUGAUAAAAUAUACAGACAAAGAGAGAAAGUUUCCAACUUUGAAGACAACUACAUCAACUAAAUAAGACGACGGUAGACCACGACGGUUCGUCAGUUGUUCUAGCGUCGUCUGAAAAUUGACAAAGUUGUUUUUAAAAUAAUAGUCUUUUUUUAUAUGCUUGUUUAAUUGCAGGUUUGAUUUCGCUGAACAAUGGUUUUUGUUUUUCCCUUAUUUGAUAAAAUAUAAAGAAAAAGAAACUAGGGUUGGUAUCUAAUAUAGACGAUAAAAUAUAAAUAAUAGUUUACCACGACGGUGUAUUACUAUUGACGUCGUGUGAACAUAUAUACCACGACGUUAUAUAAAUAAUGGUUUUAAACAUUUAUUACGUCUGAGAUUAUUUCAUUGCGUCGUCUAAAAUCAUAUCAUACGUCGUAUUUUGUUAAUACCGUCGUUUGUGUUCUUAAUGUUUUCCUGAAAUAUUUUCACUUGCAGUUUUGUCUGUUAAAAUGGUUUCUCAACAACAAACUAAGGAUUCUGGCUCCAAGAAGCUUGGAAUGGUAGCUCCUCAAGAUAAGUCUUCGAAGGAGAUGAAGUCUUCGAAGAAGAUGAAGUUUGCUUCAUCAUCUGCUGAGACAGAACAAACCAGCCAGACAACAAUCUCAGAUGAUUCAAAGACUGGUCGAGGUAUGAGCACAAUGCCUCGUGUUGUGAAGAGAAAGCUUCAGAAACUGAGGCCAAUUGUUGAGUACAAUAAAAGGGGGAAAGGUGUUGGCCAAGCACAUAUUGAGAUGCAGUCGUAUAUUGGUGUGUUGGCACGCUCCAGGAUCCCACUUGUGGACAAGAAAUGGUCCCAAAUCCCCAAGGAUAUAAAGGAGCAGAUUUGGGAAGCAGUUGACAUGGCUUUUGUCGUAGGCCAAGGGGGCAAGACCUCUGUUUUAGCUUCUGCUUCCAAGAAAUGGAAGGAUUUCAAGUCUACACUAACGAGGCAUUAUAUCCUUCCAUACACCAAUGACAGGGAGAAAUUAAGCCAACCCCCUGAAACAUAUAAAUUCAUAGAGAAAGCACAAUGGGAUGCCUUUGUAGCUUCAAGGCUAUCCAAAGAUUUUGAGUCUGUGCAUUCUCAACAUGCACAGAUUAGGGAGAAACUCGAGUACAAUCAUCGAUUGUCUCGAAAAGGAUAUGCUGGAUUGGAGGAUCAAUUGGAGGAAACCAUGCCUGGGGUAGAAAUUGAUCGAUCUACCUUAUGGAAGAGAGCUAGACAGGACAAACAUGGUAACAUCCCUGAUCCAAAGGUGGCAGAGAAAGCAAAAUUAAUUGUAAGCCUACUAUCACUCUGUUUUAAAUUUUUAUUAAACUGUGAAUUAUUCUUAUUACGUCGUAUGUUAUAUUUUUCGUCGUGUGAAUGAUAUUACCACGUCGAAAAGUUUUUAAAAACGUCGUUAAAGGUCUAAAUAGGAAUCACUACUAUGUUUUCUGUAAUUACAGCAUAAGACGUCGGUGGUUCAUUUUCGCGUCGUGUGAAUGAUAUUACCACGUCGAAAAUUUUUUAAAAACGUCGUUAACGGUCUAAAUAGGAAUCACUACUCUGUUAUCUUUAAUUAUAGCAUAAGACGUCGGUUGUUUAUUCAUUUCGUCGUUUUAAAUAAAUAACCACGUCGGUAUAACUACCGUCGUGAUAAGUUAUAAUAACGUCGGUUUAUACGUUAUUGCGUCGUGUGAAAUUAUAUAAUACGUCGUUUGUACAUAAAUAACCGUCGUGUGUUUUUUUGUUUAUCUUUUUUUAGGAUGAAUUGCAGAAACAAGUCUCGGAAGGCAAAGUCAGAGUAGAUGGCAGCAAUGAUGUGCUGACCAUGGCUUUGGGCCCCGAGCAUCCAGGCAGACUGAGGGGAGUUGGUGCUGGUGUUUCCCCAAGGCAAUAUUUCAAUUUGCCCAAACCACAGAGGGUGAGCUUUGACGACCGUUUGAAGGACAGUUUAAGAGUUCUCCUUCAAGAAGAGACUAAAAAGAUGGAGGCUAAGGCAAGGGAAGAGGCCUUAAGGAUGGAGGCUAGGACAAAACAAUUGGUAGAGGCUGAGAGGGAGCAUUUCCUGAGUCAGCUUUCCCAAUUAAUUCCCAAUUUUGAUCCAAGCAUGCUUAAACCAAGAAUUAGCCAAAGCCCCAAAAAUCCAAUGUCUGACAAAGCUAGCUGCUCUGGAGGUGAUGUGAGAUCCCUACAUUUGGAGGAUGAUACUGCCAAAAUGGGGAAACAUCAGCCAGAUGAAGAGAAGGAAGAAGAAAAAAGAGAUGAAGAGAAGGAAGAAGAAAAGGAGAAAGAAGAUGAAGAAAAGCAUGACGACAAGGUAUGUUCACAUAACUUUGCCUUUUUUAUUUGUUUUUCAAAAUUUCAGACGUCGAUAUUUUUAUUUAAUCCGUCGUUUGUUUAAAACUUAGACGGCGGAAUUUUUUUAAGACGUAAUAAAAUAUUUAAACGACGGUUUUUGCACCGUCGUUUAAAUGGUUUCAAACGACGCUUUAUUCAUAAAACCGUCGUCUUUAUUGAAUUACCACGACAGUUUUUUCACCGUCGUUUAAAUACUUUUAAGACGACGUUUUAUUACUUAAACCGUCGUCUUUAUUGAAUUACCACGUCAUUUUUUUUAUUUCUUUAAACAGGUUAUUGAAGUUGGUGCUUAUUCAAAUAUGGAGGCGCCAUCUUCUUUAAAAACCCUUUGUCGUUUUGUGGAAACGACACUCCUGCCUGAGGAUAAGACACUCCAAUUUACAAUUGAUAAGGAGGUGUUUGGUGGUGAGCGCGAUACCUUCCUCCUGCCUGAAGAUAUUACACAAUUUGCAGGCAUGGAAGAAAUUGGAGCUACUGUAUUGGCUGUAUAUAUGAGGUUUGUACUUCUAAAAUAAUACCUCGUUGGUUUAUAUAUUGCGUCGUCUUAACUAACUAACCACGUCGUCUUAACUAACUACCGUCGUGAUAAAUAUAUUAUAACGUCCUCAUCUAUUUCAGUACGUCGUGUGAAAUAUUAUAAUACGUCGUUUUUUUAUACAUAACCGUCGUGUUUUGUGUGCUGACUUGUUUAUAUUAUUUUAUUUGUUUAGGUACUUACACGAUGUUUUGAAAAAAGCCAAUAUGUGCAGUAUGGUUGGCUUUAUCGACCCUGCUACAGUUAGUGCCAACUCUGGCACAAUAACUGAAAGAUCACGACUCGUAGCAGCUCGACUUCAGAAGACAGACGGUGAACAGAUUUUCAUGAUGCCUUACAAUCCAGGGUUAGUCUCCUUAGGAUUUUGUUUUUAUGAUUUUCAAUAAAUGACAGCUUAUAAACUAACCACGUCGGUGUUUUAUUUUAUUUAGUCGUUUGAAACUACUAACCACGUCGGUAUUUAUUUNNNNNNNNNNNNNNNNNNNNNNNNNNNNNNNNNNNNNNNNNNNNNNNNNNNNNNNNNNNNNNNNNNNNNNNNNNNNNNNNNNNNNNNNNNNNNNNNNNNNNNNNNNNNNNNNNNNNNNNNNNNNNNNNNNNNNNNNNNNNNNNNNNNNNNNNNNNNNNNNNNNNNNNNNNNNNNNNNNNNNNNNNNNNNNNNNNNNNNNNNNNNNNNNNNNNNNNNNNNNNNNNNNNNNNNNNNNNNNNNNNNNNNNNNNNNNNNNNNNNNNNNNNNNNNNNNNNAAAAAAACAAACAUACAAAUUGCCUAACCGACGUGUAAUACUUUUCCAACGACCUAAUAAAGUCAAUAACCGUCGUAUUUUGUUGUUGCGUGUUUUAAACAAAUACGACGUAAAAAAAAUAGUUAGACGACGUUCUUUGAACAAUUGAGUCGUUAAUGGUUUACAAUAUCUUCAAUUUCUUAAGGGUUCAGGGUAUAAUCGACGACGUUUAUGUAACGACUGCGGUUAAGUCGUAAAAUAUAUAUUUUACGUCGUAUAGUUAAAUAGCCGCCAUGGUUUCUCAUUUUAACGACGUCAUUUUAACGACUUAGUAGUCUAUUACAAUUUACAACGUCUACAAUUUAUUUAACACCGACGUGGUUUGUUGUAUGGUAAGAAUAUUUUAUUAUUUUUAUAUCAAAAUAUUCAAAAUAAAUAUAAAAUAAAUCAGAAAAUUGAAAAGUCAACUCCUAUGAAGUCAUUGAUAUAUUUUCUUCCACAUAAACCUUGAAAAAAUUCAUUUUGAAUAACAAAAAUUUAAAAUGACCAUCCAAAACAAAAUUGUUUUGAUGAGUCAUAAAAUCACUUCUAGUUUUAUGGUUUAGGGUUUAGAGUCUAGGGUUUAGAGAUUAGGGUUGUUAUUUAUUGGGGUUUAUUUUUAAAGUAUAAUUUUUGGGUAGUCUAUGUUAUAUGUUAGGCUUUAAAACCAUAAAACCUUUUAUAAACUUAAUUUUUUAAAUUGUAUAAUUUAAUUUUAUGGGUUUAGUGUAUUAAUUUUUAACGACGGUGGUUGGGUCGUGGAAUACAUAUUUUACGUCGUACAGUAAAACAUACGACAUGGUUUACGCUUUAAACGACGUCAUUUUAAUAUGUAAGUCGGUUUAUAUAAUUUACAACGUUUUUAAUUUCUUAACACCGACGUGGUUUCUCAUUUUAACGACGUCAUUUUAACGACUUAGUAGUCUAUUACAAUUUACAACGUCUACAAUUUAUUUAACACCGACGUGGUUUGUUGUAUGGUAAGAAUAUUUUAUUAUUUUUAUAUCAAAAUAUUCAAAAUAAAUAUAAAAUAAAUCAGAAAAUUGAAAAGUCAACUCCUAUGAAGUCAUUGAUAUAUUUUCUUCCACAUAAACCUUGAAAAAAUUCAUUUUGAAUAACAAAAAUUUAAAAUGACCAUCCAAAACAAAAUUGUUUUGAUGAGUCAUAAAAUCACUUCUAGUUUAAUGGUUUAGGGUUUAGAGUCUAGGGUUUAGAGAUUAGUGUUGUUAUUUAUUGGGGUUUAUUUUUAAAGUAUAAUUUUUGGGUAGUCUAUGUUAUAUGUUAGGCUUUAAAACCAUAAAACCUUUUAUAAACUUAAUUUUUUAAAUUGUAUAAUUUAAUUUUAUGGGUUUAGUGUAUUAAUUUUUAACGACGGUGGUUGGGUCGUGGAAUACAUAUUUUACGUCGUACAGUAAAACAUACGACAUGGUUUACGCUUUAAACGACGUUAUUUUAAUAUGUAAGUCGGUUUAUAUAAUUUACAACGUCUUUAAUUUCUUAACACCGACGUGGUUUUUCAGUCGUCGUUAUAUAAAAAAUUCAAAAUAAAUUUAAAAUUAAUCCGAAAAAUGAACGGCCUUACGUUCUUAAUCCGAAAAAUGAAGUUUCCGUCGUGGAAUAUUAAAUUUACGUCGGUACUUGUAGAACUUUCGCCUUGGUUUUUCUUUCGACGUUUUAUAACGCGCGCGCUCUAAAAAUUUUCGCGCGACCUAAAUUUUUUUAGAUUUGGCUCUUAGUCUUAUACUUUGAUCCCUGAAACCUAAAAUUUCAGAUUUCACGCGACAUAACAUUUCGCUCUCUCACUUCUGCUCUAAUUAAAAGUUGCACUCUCCAGGCUCGUCGAAUCUGUGAGCUCGUCCAACCUGUAAGUACAAACCCUAUCUUCCCCUUGUAAAUUCAUUGAAUGAUAUUAGGUUGUUUUGUUAAAGGGUUUUAGGUAUAUGCUUUGCGAUCUGUUAAUAAUGUGCUUAUAGGUAUGGGUUCAUGGAUUUUCUGUUUAAUGGGUUCAUGACAAGAUCAAAUAAAGGUGUACUUUUGCUGGAAAUCAACACAAAAAGACACAUCACCAACUUCCAAAUGAUUUCCAGCAAAAGGACACCUUUAUUUGAUCUUGUCAUUUUCCGCUCUGGAGAAGGUGCAAAGUGCACCAAUGCUUAUAGGUAUGGGUUCAUGGAUUUUCUGUUUAAUGGGUUCAUGGAUUACAUUAUCUGUUAUGUUGAAUUGGGAAUGGAUUUAAUUUUGUCGUAUCUUUUAAUCACCCUAUGUUAUGUUGAAUUGGGAAUGGAUUUAUUGUUUUCAUGCUUGGUUUCAUGUAUAUGUUGGUUUCUUGCUUGGUUUCAUAUAUAUGUUGUGUUCUUAAUGGGUUUUGUGUUCUUGAAAAUAAACUGAGACACGACGAAUUUUAAGGCGUACGACGACGAUUACACGACGGUGUUUUUAAACUACCGUCAUUGUAUUACUUAUACACGACGGUUUUUUCAUAAACCGUCGUUUGUAUUACGUAUAAUAGACGACGUCUGUUGAAAAUCCGUCGUCUAUAUAUGCCAAAUACGUCUGUUUUUGAUUAAAACCCGUCGUCUCUGUUGUUUAUUACUUGCGAUUAGAUCAUUGUAUAAUCUGCUAUAGUGAUGGUCAUUGCCUGUAUUUUCACUUUAUUAUAGAUAAUAGGUUAUAGUGUCGGAGAUGGAUAAGUCAUGGAUGCACUCGGAUAGAAGAUCGAAGACAUAUGAGUUUGGGGUGGAAGCAUUUUUGAACUUUGCUGUAGAAAAUCUUCUAACUACAACACAUAUCCGUUGUCCAUGUGUUAAAUGUGUUAAUUUGAAGUUGUUUGGGGUUGGAAUUAUAAGGGAUCACUUAUACUUUAAUGGAAUUGACCAAAGCUAUAAGAAUUGGACAUUUCACGGAGAACCUUGGGAAGCAACUACUAAUGCUAGCAGAAAUGUUGAAGAAGAUGAUGGCCAUAGUAGGUACAGUUUUGUGUCUGAAGAAAUUGAUAUGGAUGAUAAUGAUUUUGGUGAUUUUGGUUUGGAUCCGUAUGAGUUUGCCAAUGUGAUUGGGGAUGGAGAUCAACCAGUGUACCCUGGUUGUAGAAAGUACACGAAGUUAUCGGCAUUAGUGAAGUUGUAUAAUUUGAAGGCAAAACAUGGGAUGAGUGAUGUCUGUUUUACAGAAUUAUUGAUACUUCAAGGCGAUUUGCUUCCAGAAGGAAAUACAAUACCAACCUCCAUGUAUGAGGCUAAAAAGACUUUGUGUGCAUUGGGGCUGAGUUAUGAGAAAAUGCACGCAUGCCCCAAUGAUUGCAUCUUGUAUAGGAAGGAGUAUGAGGAUUCAACUAAUUGUCCUACUUGUGGUAUCUCAAGGUGGAAGGAAGGCAAAGAUGCAAUCUUGAAAGAGGGUGUGCCAGCGAAGGUGGUGUGGUAUUUUCCCCCAAUUCCAAGGUUUAAAAGGAUGUUUCAAUCACAUGAGACAGCUAAGAGUUUGACUUGGUGGCAUGUUGCUAGAAAAUCAAUUGACGGUCAGAUGUCUCAUCCGGCGGAUUCCCCGUCUUGGAAACUUCUUGAUGAUAAAUGGCCUGAGUUUGGUAAUGAGCCGAGAAACUUGAGAUUGGCUCUUUCAUCUGAUGGAUUCAAUCCCCACAGUUCUCUAAGUAGCAGAUAUAGUUGUUGGCCGGUUAUCUUAGUUACAUAUAAUCUCCCUCCAUGGCUGUGCAUGAAACGAAAGUUCAUGAUGUUAACCUUAUUGAUUUCCGGUCCUAAACAACCCGGAAAUGAUAUAGACGUCUACUUGGAGCCUUUGAUUGAUGAUUUAAAAUCCUUGUGGGUUGGGAUUAGAGGAGUGUAUGAUGCACAUAAUGGAGAAUACUUUACACUCAGAGCUGCAUUAAUGUGGACAAUUAAUGAUUUCCCCGCCUAUGGAAACUUAUCUGGUUGUGUUGUUAAAGGAUAUAAAGCUUGUCCAAUAUGCGGCGAUGAUACACCUAGUCACAGGUUGAAAAAUGGCCACAAAAUUUGUUACAUUGGGCAUAGAAAAUGGUUACCAAUCAAUCAUCCAUAUAGGAGGCAACGUGCAGCUUUUAAUGGGAAACCUGAAUAUGGCAUACCUCCAGAGCCAUUAACCGGAGAAGAAGUGCUGCAUAUGGUUGAAAAUGGUGACAGAGUUUGUUGGAAGAAGAAAUCAAUAUUCUUUGAUCUCGAGUAUUGGAAAUACCUUCCUGUGAGGCAUGCCCUAGAUGUUAUGCACAUUGAGAAGAAUGUUUGCGAUAGUAUCAUUGGUACAUUGCUGGAGAUCCCUGGAAAAAAUAAAGAUGGGAUUGCUGCUCGAUUAGAUUUAUUGAACAUGGGGGUCAAAACUGAUUUGCAACCCGAGUAUGGAGAAAGACGUACUCGUUUGCCUCCUGGGCCUUGGAAUUUGUCAAGAGCAGAGAAGAGAGAGGUUUGCAAUUCUUUCUAUGGUAUGAAGGUCCCUGAAGGUUAUUCUUCAAAUAUUAAAAAUCUUGUAUCUGUACAAGAUUCAAGACUUCUUGGCCUUAAAUCACAUGAUUGUCAUACCUUAAUGCAACAAUUGCUCCCUGUGGCAAUUCGUUCUGUUUUGGAGAAGCCUGCAAGGUAUGCAAUAACUCGUUUGUGCUUCUUCUUCAAUGCUAUAUGUGCAAAGACUGUUGAUGUUUCCAAGCUAGAUAAGUUGGAAGAAGAUGUAGUAGUUACUCUGUGUUUGCUUGAGAAGUACUUUCCCCCUUCAUUCUUUGAUAUCAUGGUUCAUCUAGUAGUACAUCUUGUCAGAGAAGUUCGUCUAUGUGGGCCAGUAUAUUUUAGGUGGAUGUAUCCGUUUGAAAGAUAUAUGAAAGUGCUGAAGGGGUAUGUUCAGAAUCGUACUCGUCCCGAAGGUUGCAUUGCUGAGCGGUAUAUAGCUGAAGAAGCGGUAGAGUUUUGUACUCAGCAUUUAUCUGAUGUUAGUACAGUUGGAGUGCCUUCAAGCCAAAAGAUGGGAGUUUCAAAGCCAUUAUCAGGUUGCACAGUGAGCGUAGUUGAUCAGGACCUGUUGAAUCAAGCACAUCUAUAUGUCUUGGAGAAUACGGAGGAAGUCCUACCUUAUAUCGAGUACGUAUGAGUUUUAUUCUUUAAGUUUCCAUUUAAAAUUAUUUCUUAUGUUUAUCUUAUAUAUUUGGGACCGUAAUGCUUGAAUUUUUCGUGUCAUGUAGGCAACAUAUGAUCCACAUCAAGACUGCUUAUCCAAAAUUUAGAAAGAGAACAAAGUGGCUGCAGGAUAAGCACAAUAGCACUUUCAUUCAAUGGCUACGCUUCAAGGUAUAUGUUGUUGAAUAACGUAUUUCUCUUUUAAUUUUCUUCUUAUUUAUAUGUUAGGAUGAAUUAAGAUAUGAUUAAUUUGCAGGUUCAAAGUGAAGUUGAGGAAGACAAUCAUGGCGUAUCAGAAAAUUUAAGGUGGCUAGCAGCUGGUCCAAACAUGUCAGUGCCAUUAUAUAGGAGCUAUCUUAUUAAAGGUAUUAAAUUCAAUAUCAAGGCACAAGAUGAUGUGCGGACAACUCAAAAUAGUGGAGUUUAUUUACUUGCACAUACCAUGCAAGUUGCUAGUGCCAAGGAUAAAAACCCAAUUCUCUCAAAUAUGGGUUUCUAUGGUGUCAUUCAAGAAAUUUGGGACCUUGACUACCAAAAGUUUACAAUCCCAGUCUUUAGGUGUGAUUGGAUAGAUAGUUCUGGUCUUGUAGUCGACGAACUUGGAUUUACCCUUGUAGAUUUGAGUAAAAUUGGACAUAGGAAUGACCAAUUUGUUUUGGCUUCUCAAGUCAAACAAAUAUUUUUUGUUGACGACCUGAUGCAUCGUGGUUGGUCGGUAGUGUUAUCAAUGCCUAGUAGAGAAUAUAAUGAUGUUAUUGGUGAUGAAGUAUUAGGUGAUGUGAUAAUUGAGUGUGAGCCAUUUACUAGAGGGAUGCCAAAUGUUGACACAUUUGAUGAACUGGUAGGUGAGUUAGGUGGUCAAAAUAUUCGAGAUGGGUGUGAAGAUAUAUGGAUUGAAUGAUGCUUAUGUAAUUGGCAGUGUAUGACAUUAAUUUUGUAAUAUAUUGUAAUGUGAUUUCUUCACUUUCUACGUUCAAAUAAAACACGACGUUAUUGUGAAUCAGUUAUUCAGCAUAUUUACCGACGUCUUAAAGCAACGUAACAAUGAAGAACCACGACGCUAUUGUGAAGCAAUUAUUCAGGAUAUCACGUCGGUGAAGGAUAAAGAACCGCCAUGUAAUUCAAAAUAACACGACUCCAAUCCCAUAAUACCGACGUCUAAAAAACGAGAUAUGUAAUCUGAACGUUAAAAAAUACGACGUCAUCAUACAUUUUCCACGUCGCAAGUUCUUUUAUAAACGAAGAGGAACGAAAUUAAUUCCGACGGAAAUUCAUUAUAACCGCCGUCUAAUAACAAUUAAACGACGUUAUUUGUAAUACGGCUCCCAUCAUAAUCUACGCCGUCUAUAUGUUCUGUAAUACGGCUCUCAUUUAUUUGGAACCGACGUUGUUUAGACGUUCAACGUCGUCUAUAUUAUUAAGUGCGUCGUGAGUAAUGAAUACAUAUAAAUACAACGUCGACUAUAUAAAUGUAUACGUCGUAAAUAAUGACACUGACAACUAUUUCCACGUCAUCUUUUUUAGAUAAAAUCGAAGUGGAAAAUUUAUUUCACGACGGUUUUUUGUAAAUAAGAGACGUUGUAGAACUUUAGCAGACUAAACACGUCUGUUUUUAUUGUUUUCCGACGUUGUUGUAUUUAACAACGUCUAAUAUUUAUGGUCGUUGUUUGUUUCUGAAAAUAGGACGUAUAAAUUUUUUAAUACGACUCUCAUAUAUUUGUAACUGACGUUGUUUAGUUUUUCAACGUCUACUAUAGAAACACAUACGUCGUAAAUAAUGACACUGACAACUAUUUCCACGUCAUCUUUUAUCAAAAAAUCGAAGUGGAAAAUUAAUUGUACGACGGUUGUGUUUAUAUGUGCGACGUAGUAGGUAUCAAUAACGUCGUCUUCUAAUGUAUUUAAAGACGUCAUAUUUUUUAUUGUCGUGAAAAUUAUAUUUAACGUCGGCGUAUUUUUAUUGUCGUCGUUGUAUGUCUAUCUUGCGGCCUUGUUCUCUUAAUAUGUGUCAUAUUUUCCCUUUUUAACGACGGUCUUUUUAGAGAAUUGGUCGUCUAUUAUCAUCAUCGAUUGCUUUUUUUAGAUCUUUUGCAGUACAAAGACGUCGUUUUGUAUUUUUUGAUGACGUUGUAUUGUUUAACAACGACGGUUAUUUAGCGUCGUGGUUUAUGAGGGAAAAGAUGACGGUGGAUUCCACGACCAUUGAAAAACCAAAUACACGACGGUGAUUUACCGUCGUCUUUUUGCUUUUUUGUAGUAGUGCAAAGACAGAACUCUUAUGCCUUGCCCUUGUCUAUGCUGCACAACGAUUGCGACAUUAUUUUCUUGCUCACAAGCUACAGCUCAUAGUGAAGUCUAAUCCUGUAAGGUAUUUACUCACAAGACUAGUGUUGUCAGGACACCUUGCACAUUGGUUGCUACAACUAUCUGAGUUUGAGAUUGCUUGUAUAACCCCGAAAGCUAUCAAGGGGCAAGCCGUGAUUGACAUGUUAGCCCAAUUACCUGAAGCAAAGGGGUCUACCCUAUCCAAAGAAGUGUUGGGAGAGCUCCCGAAAGUAGUUGCCAUUGCUACAGAGGAGGAACCAUGGACCCUCUACUUUGACGGUUCUUCUACAACCAAUGGGGGAGGAGCAGGCGUAGUACUUAUUAACCCCGAAGGGCAAGCUACAGCCCUUUCAUUCAAACUAGAUUUUCCAUGCACAAAUAAUAUGGCGGAGUAUUAAGCUUUUGUCAUGGGAUUGUCUACAGCAAAAGAAAUGGGUGCAGAAAGGAUGAAGAUCAUCGGCGAUUAGAAUCUGGUGCUAAGUCAAUUACAAGGAAGCUUUGCUGUGAAAUAGGCAACCUUGGCCCCCUAUCGUACAGCUGCUGAAAGACUCAUUAAUUAUUUCAAGCAAAUCGUGAUGGAGCACAUUCCAGGGGUCACCAAUACGUAUGUUGAUGCUUUGGCUACGUUGGGGUCAAAGCUUUCGUUUAUCCAAGAGCAGCCUAAUAUCACCGUAAUAAAGAAGGGUAUGCCCAUAAUCGAAAUGAUGUUCCGGGGGGGCUGCUGGAAGUAGAGGAUGAUUGGAGAAAGCCAGUUAAAGAAAAGCUAGGCGAAGGAAGUAACAUUAAAGACCUAAAAGAUUAUGCAAUCAUCUUUGAAGAACUUUACAGACGUCUCCUGGGGAGCAUUUUGACCCGGUGUAUAGGAGUAACAGAAGCACAAAGGAGUUUGCAAGAGGUACAUGACACCACUUGCAGCUUGGAACCAGUGAUUAGUUUGUAUCGGCGCCUGCAACGCAAAGGUUAUUAUUGGCCAGAGAUGAAGAAGCAAACAGCUGAAAUUCAGUCCAAUUGCCCCACGUAUUCGACGAUACCCUCUACCGAAGAAUCUUUCACCAUCUCAUUUGAGAAGGAUUGGAGGGCUCUAUACUUAGCGUUCUUUGUUGAGGGGACUCUACCAACCAACUCCAAACUUGCCUACAAGCUUAAAAAGAUGGUAAAUAGGUAUUUUGUGGAUGGGUCGACUCUUUACCGAAAAGGGUUCAGUGGUGAGCCACUAAAAUGCUUGGGAGAAUCAGGGGCACAUCAAGUCAUGCAGGAAAUACACGCUGGAGAGUGUGGAGAGCACUAGGGAAUGAAGAGGCUUCACCGACAGCUAUGAAGUUUUGGGUAUUACUAGCCUACCAUGAAGAAAGAUGCACAUGACUUUGUCAAAAGAUGCCACAUGUGCCAAAUUCAUGCCAAUUUAAGUCACAAACCUCCUACGUUUUUGCAGGACAUGCGCACUCCUUGGCCUUUUCAUACUUGGGGGCUUGACUUAAUUAGGACAAUCCAUCCCCCUUCUGAUGGUUACAUAUGGAUUCUCACUGCCACGGAAUAUUUCACAAAGUGGGUUGAGGCAAUUCCUCUUUGAAAGGCCACAAGAGCUGCUAUCUCAAAAUUUAUUUGAGAAUACAUUGUGUGCAGGUUUGGAAUCCCGUACAAAAUGGUUACUGAUAAUGGCACGCCUUUUGUUAACAAGCAAGUGAGCUCAACACUUAGCGGCUACGGUAUCAAGCAUCGCCGCUCCAUACCCUAUUACCCACAGGGAAACGAUCAAGCGGAGGCUACAAACAAAACCAUACUGAGGAUUUUGAGCAAAAUAGUAUAUGAGUACGAAGGUGGUUGGAGUGUUCAUUUGCCAGAUGCCUUGUGGGCUUACUGCACCUUUCCAAGAAGUGCUACAUGUUUUUCACCUUAUUCGCUUGUGUAUGGGUCUGAUGCCAUCUCACUUGUGGAAAUCACCAUUCCCACGGCCAGAGUAUCGGCUGUCAAUGAUCUUGAAUGGGAUGGCGCUUAUUAGACCUCGAAGCCAUGGACGAAAAAAGAGUAUAAGCCGAAAGAAAAAUGGCACUUUACCACAAAACUGUUGCCCAAGCAUAUAACAGGACCGUCAAGCCUCAAACCUUCAGACGAGGAGAUCAUGUGCUAAAAGUUGUCGAGCAUGUGAGAAGACAAGUGUCGGAACCUUCCAAGUUUGCUCCGCAAUGGGAAGGCCUGUUUACAGUCAAGGAAGUACAUAGCAGUAGCUAUUAUCGCUUGAUCUCCGUCAAGGAAGGCAUGCUAACGAAUCCCAUCAAUGGAAAGUGGCUCAAGCCUUACUACUGCUAAGUAGACAUCGUAUCUUACCUUUUGUGUUAUCGCAUUUCCUUUUUAAAUAUGGUCUCCUUCUAUAUUCUGCCUUUUGCUCUAGGAAACUUUUGUAAGAUGUACCAUCAUGGUACCAUGGGAUUUGAAAUGAAAAUGAAGGAGUGUUUUGAGAAGAAAAAACAAUUGUCUCUGGAAAUUUAUCUUUUUGCAUCCCAAACUCCUGUGUAUAUAUAUCCAGAGGAGAUAGAAUAUAAGCAGAAAUAGGUAUAGGCACUCAAGUAAUAAAUAGGCGGAGCUUAUGCAUGAAUGAAAUUAAUGAAUAGAUGAAAAUAGAUUGAACAUAAAUAUGACUUUGAAACAUAGAUUUUAUUGAAAAUAACUUUGAUAACUAUGAGAAAUGUAAACUUACAAGAAAUCUUGACUGAAGAGAUUUUGAUCCCUCAGAAAGUACAAGAGUUCAUCAGGGUAGUAGUCUUGAGAGAACUUAUAAAACUGAGAAAAGUAAAUUAUACAUUCUGAGGAUAACUAAGGUCGAAGCCUUCUUAAAUAGACUAGAUAACUUGACUAUUGGGAACUACUGUGGAAAUCAUACAACUUUUGACUGAAAUCAACUUUUGCUUUUUCUUUUAGAAUCUUGACUGUAGAAGCACGCGAGAGCAUCUGCUUUUACUGGUGCUGAAAUACUUUUGCUUUUGUCGGGGCUCAUGAUGACUGUCUUAAAAACUGCUAAUCUUUGCCGAGAUCAAAGGGACUGAAAUCAUAGGGGUCUUGACUAUCAGGAGGAUAAUCACUCCACCGCUUCUUUUGACUUGGAGGGAUCCGAGACUAGCUAGUAGAAGACUGAGAUUUAGGGGUAGCAUCACUAUUAGCAUCAUUAUCUUCAUCAUCAUUCAUUUGGGAGGCUUGAGCCAUCAACUGUCUAGCAAUUUCUUGUAAUUCUGACUUUGAUUUUCCCUCGACUGGGAGAGAAGAAUGGGACACUGCAGGGGAUACCUUUUUCUCUGACGCGAGAGGCUUCAUAGGGGGUAAUCUGAAUAGACAUAAUCAGCAAUUCUUUCAAUUUUAAACUUGUCCCACCAUUUGAUUGAAAAUUGGUAGGAGAGAUAUCUAGAAUCCCAAUUGACUUGGUAUAACCAUUUAAGAAUCCAUGGGACUUUAUAUCUAGCAAUGAAAUGGAGUAAAUUAGGGAAGAACAACUCUGACUCAUUGAACUUAUGCUUAUUGGUGAAAUAAUUAACUAGUUCUUGCAUUUGAGGGGGAAGAAGCUCAAUAACUGGACCAUGUUUUUCCCACCGGUGGAGGAACCAGAAGGGAAAAGGACUCUUGAAUUUACUAUCAAAAUUGAUGAACCAAGAGUGAUUGAAAUCAACUGUUUGAUGAAGCAAAAUUGAAUACCAGGCUUCAAUAUAAUCAUAGUAACUAAAUUGGACUUCUGACUGAAGAAGUUUGAGGUCAUAAGGGUGCUUGCUCCAUUCGUUUUAACUGAGAAUUCGAUGGAUGUAUAGGGAGUGGAUAAAGGGUAAUAGUUGGAAUAUUUCGAUCUUUAAUUGGCUUGAUUUCAAUUGAUUGGGUCUCAAGAAGAAUAUCUCUGUAAUAAUUUAAAUUCUUAUAGGGGGCUUGAGGAAUGAAGUGGCAAUUAGGGGGGAAAUAUGACCUUGCGAUUGUAAUUGGAUUAGCAAUAUUAUCAUAUUUAAACUCAACAAUAAAGAGACAACUGGAGGAGUAAACUGAGUAUUGACCUGGAAUGGAUCAUGACUGGAGAUUAAGGCUGACUUUAAACUAGGACAGAUUUGGCCUACUGUGGCUCCUAAGGUGGCAAAUUUGUUACUGAUCUGAAUAGGAGAACAUCCCGGGUAACGGGUAAAGGACGAUCUGGGAAGGUGACUCUGAUUUGGGUGUAUUCAUUGAUGGGGGAAGUAUUCUGUAUGACUGGGAUGACUGGAAGUGACUAGCUUGCUCUUUUUGCUUGUCUUUUCUUCUAUCUGCCAUUGUUUUUCCUGGAGAAAUUCUCGAGUAAGAAAAUCAGGAACAUAAUUCUCACUUCCUCCCAAAUAUUCAAUAUCAAAAUAAAAAAAUGCUUAAAAUUGCUUGCCAUUGUGCAAAAAUCUGUUUGGAUGCAAUAUUUUGAACAUCUUUUUCUAAUACAUGUUUAGCAGACUUACAAUCAACUCGGACUAAAAAAUUUUUAUUUAAUAAAUCAUCUUAGAAAUUUAUUAAUGCAUAAUACUAUAGAUAAUAUUUCUUUCUUAAUAGUACUAUAAUUACUUUGUGACUGUGUCCAAAUUCCAAAAUGAAAUUGGACGAUUUGCUCAGAUUGACUUGAAUUAUUAUUUUUUUUUUUAGAAUACGGAGACCAAUUUCAAAGGCAUCAGUUUCGGCUAUUUUGAAGGAAUCAACUAAAAGAAUACCAAGACAGGGAAGUGUCUUGACAUGGACCUUGAUUUGUUUGACUAUUUCUGUAUGAGUAGAUGACCAGGGAGGAGGAUCACUCUGGAGAGGAUCAAUUAAUGGCUUACAUUGUUUUCUCUGAUUCUGAUAGAAAUCCGACACAUAAUUAAGAGAUCCUAAGAAUCUUUGAAGUUGACUCUUGUUUAAAAUUUAAUCAGGGAAUUUUUCUGCAAACUGGAUGACUCGAUCAAUUGGACUUAUUUGAGACUGACAAAUAUUAAAACCAAGAAAUCGGAUAUACGUUUGGAACAACUUAAUCUUCUUAGCAGAGACAACUAAACCAUUUUGUUUAACUAUAUGAAGAAACUUAUGCAAAUGCUUCCAAUGCUGUUGUAUUGACUGGGAAAAGAUUAAAACAUCAUCAAUAUAAACUAUGAAAAAAUGACUAUAUUGAUUAAAUAUCUCAUUCAUUAAAUUUUGAAAUUCACUAGGUGCAUUCUUAAUACCGAAAGGCAUAACAUUCCACUCAUAGUGACCGAAUGGGAUAACAAAAGCGGUUUUAUACCUAUUUGACUUACUAAUUUGAAUUUGCCAAAAUUCACUUUUCAAAUCAAACUUAGAGAAGACAACUGCAUUUCCUAACCUAUUAAUUAAGUCUGUAUUGGGUACCUAAUCCAUUCUAAGACUGUAUUAAGAGGUUUGUAAUUAAUAACUAAUCUUGGGGCUCCACGUUCUCACUCAGCAUUUUUUUGGUCAUAAAAAGCAGGACAAGACCAUGGUGACUUACUUUUGCUAAUUAUUCCUUUUUGGAGUAAUUCGGAAAUUUCAGUUUUACAAAAUUCCAUUAUAUCUUGAUUCAUUUGAAUCGGUCUGGCUUUAGUGGGAAUAUUCUUUUCACUAAAGUUUUUAACAUAGGGUAAACUGACUACAUGUUGCUUCCUAUGCCAAAAAGUGUUAGAUAACUCAGAACAGACUUCUAUUUUUAAUUUGUCUUCGAACUUUUGAAUUUGUGACUGGACAGACGCAUCAUUAAGCUGUUGUUCAAUUCUCCUAAAGUUAACUUCUUCUUUAAGAAAAUUUAGUUGUUUAUUCUUACUUUCAAUUAUUUUAACUGUCUUUAAAACUGCGCUUUUCUGAAGGGCUUUCAAAUUGUGCAAUUCCGGCUUAGUUAAAAACUCAAACUUAAUCUUUUCACCUAAAUUGGUAGAAAUGACUCCAUCGUAUUCUACCUGGAAAGGAUAUAAAAUGGCAAUAAAGGGUAAUCCUAAAAUGACUUCAUCAGUAAUAUUUUUUACUAAGACAAAUGAGGUUUUGAUGGAAAUUUUGUUUUGACAAACAUGGGCUUUAGGGAUUUCAUAAUUUAACUGGUGUGAUUUUCCUGAGGCAGUGCUUAAUGACUCUUUUGACUUUUUGUAAUAUUUAGUGGGGACUAAACCUUCUCUAAUACAAUUAAGGUCGGCUCCUGAAUCAAAUAAGGCAACUGUGUUUAAUUCAAAAUUAUUAAUAAAUAAAGUGACUUUAGAAUACCAUUUCCUAAAAUUUACUUGUUUAAUUAAAUUAAUGGCUUGCUCAUUAUUGGAAUGAUAAAAAGGCUCUUCAUCUGAAUGUGUAGGGGAAUUUGUAGGGGUUUCUUUAGACUCAAAACUUCUUUUUUCUAUUAAAUUAACUAAAUCUUGUUUAAUCUCAAAAUUCUCAGCUUGCAACUUAUGACUCAUUUGUCUUAACUCUACAAUUUCUUUUUUGAUUAGUUUUACUUCUAAUUGUAGAUCUUGUAAAGUAACUUCUUUUCUUUUCUUGUUGAAUUUUUCUAAAGUAGUAUUCAAACUUAUUUUUUGGGGAAUUGAUUGACUGGGUUCUUCUUGGCUAAUGACUUUCUUAAUUUUUUCAGAUAUUCAAAUUUUAACUAUGGGUUUUCAACUUUGCUGAUUAAAUCAAUUAAUAAUUCUUCCUGUUCCUCUUGCUUAGUAAGGACACUAAUUGACUUACUUAAGACAUUACAACGUUUAUCUUUACAACCUAACUAGAUAUUGGGUGAACUAGGUUGGGAAUCCGUAGACAUAUAAGCUGCUGACUCAGUGUCGGUAACUAUGGUUUCAUUUUCACUGGACUUAGAAUUUCUUAAUUCUAAAACUUUAAUUAAUUUUUCUUUAUCUUCAUUCAUGAUUUUCAACUGCUUUAUUGUAUCUUUAAUUUUACACUCGUUAGCAUAAUGACCAAACUUUUGACAUUUGUAACAUUUUACUUUUCUUUUGUCGGUAUUCUUCUUAAAGCUACUUUGCUUAUUUUUCUCGUGACUCCUUUUCCAGUUUUUUCUUCGAGUGAAACUUCUUUUGACUAUAAAACUCAUUAUUGUUAUUAUUAUGUCGGAAUGACUUUCUUUUACGUGAGUAGUGGCAAUUUUUACUAGAUGGGGGAAUCGAUGCUAAACCAUAUUGCUCACAAAAAUUUCCUAAUUAAUACUUAGCGGAAUUUCUUUCUGAUUGUAUUUGCUUACCUAUUUGGAUAUCAACACACAUUUUCAUACCAACUUGGUUAAUUGUGCUAAUAAUAUUACCAUAAGUCAAAUUAUCAUAAUCUAUGUGACCUUGAUCAUUACUAAGAACUGUGCGUAUUUUAUGGGCAAAUAAAUUUGGAAGGCCAUUAAUAAAUUUUUCUUUCCAAAAAGCUUGGUUACUAUCUUCUCUUAGCAUGACUCUGGAAAUAAAGACAUCUUUAUACCAUCUAAAAUCAGACAAUUUUGGGCAUCUUAGAUUGCUAAGUUGAUCAUGGAUUCUAGUAGUGGUAUGGCUCGGUGUUCCAAUAAAAUGCUCAAUUAUGGCAUAUAACAAAGUAUUGACUCCGUCUUCUAUACCUUGACCUAAAUUUUCAUCAAAUAUUGGGAGACCUUCUUCAUUAAGUUUAACUGCAUGAAUUAUUUGACGUUUAGAUUCUUCUGUCAAACGUUUAUCCCACCAAGAACAUAAGAUUCCGGUGAAACCAACUUCUAAUAAAGGCACUAUUUCUGACUGCCUAAAACUGUGAUUGGUGACAUAACUAUUGGCAACCAUGGACAUAUGAGUUAACUUGUUUAAUAUUUCUUGCUCAAACAGACCAUCUAUAUUCCAUUCAUAUAAUUUAUCUGAGGAAACUGAAAACUGACUCUGGGAAUUUCUUUCUGACUGUAUUUGCUUACCUAUUUUAUAUUUAUAUAUAUAGCAAUAUUAGGCAAAAAUAAAAAAUAAAAAAAACAACAACAACGCUACUUAGCAGAAAGCAUGCCAAGCAAAGUCACUAGUAUGAAUCCCAGAUCAUUAACAAGCUUCAUGCUUAAGCAAAAUAAAAUGGAGCACGCAAAGUUGAGCAUUUACAAAGAAACUAGCAUGCCCACAACGUCCAAGAGCCUUUGGGGGUAAUUUUUUUUUUUAAUUUUAAAAAGGAGGUAGCGAGAAGUUUGAAUGGGGUUCCUACCAAAAUUUUGGCAGCAUCUACCUUGUUUCAUCUACCUUGUUUUAAAAGGGUACCCAACCUGUAAGAAGAUCUCAAGCAAAGAAUUCCACCAACCAUGCAGCAUAUAUAUAUACCAAACAGGAAUUACAAUGUGUCUCUAGCAUCCAAAAAAAAAAAGGGGACAUAGGUUCCAACAGCUUAAACACAGCAACAUUACAGUACAAAGUUUCCAUGGUACAAGUUCUAGGACAUCCAAAGGAAAUACAGCCGAAGUAAAAUUAAGUUAUACAAGCCAAAGAUUAAUGUAUUCUUCAGUUUCAAAAGGAAUUCUAAAAUGUGUCAAGCCAGUCAAUCUCGCACCAAGCAAACGCAACCUACAAGGCCGAGUAACGGUAAAUGUCAUAAGAAAACAGGCUGGUGUGCAGGACAAGGCUACUAAAGGAGAAAAAGGAGGAGUAAAGUGAGAAGGGAUGAAGAGUCACAGACCUAAAAGAGAACAGAGGCGGCCUUAUGAGAGGAUCUAGCUGCUGCUUCUGCCACGCAGCCGGCACCGUUAGCAGAAACACCUUGGGCAAGAAGGAGGGCACGCAGUUCCCCAUGCUGGUUUUCCAACUCACGCUGCUUAAGAUUCAAAACCCUUCCCCGUUGGUUUUCCACCUAAAAAUUGUUGAUGUCAUCACACAAAAAUCUCCAAAUGACAAUGUUAACCUAACAAAUUAGAUUGUGCAUAAACCCCAGGUCUAAUCGUUGAGGUUAAUUUUUUUCAUUUAAAUUUGAAAAGUUUUUUUUUUAUAAUGAAAUCAUCAACUUUUUCGAUAGGAAAUUAAAGAAAGGGAUUUUGCGAAAAUAAUUUGAAAUUUUAAGGGGCUUUUAGUGUAAUUUCUAAAAUUUGAAGGGAUUUUGUGAAAAGACUACAGACCUCAUAAGGUGCCAAUGUAAAUAACUAUAUCUAAAAGCCAUGUAUUUCGGUGUGCUCAAGUCACAACUCCCCAUUCACAAUUCUUUACCAUUCUCAUGCAAUCAACAAUUGGACUGAGCACAAUACGAAAACCAAAAUAACAAAUCGAAUGAUGCAUCCGUGGCUAGAGGCCAUGAGGUCUUGUAGAGAAGUAGAGUGGAUGAACACGUUAUCAUCAAUUUUGAAAGAAAUUUACAAACUUAUCCUUUAGCUAAUGUGGCUUAGUGUAAAUCAGUAGAUCAUUUAAAUGGUUCAGAUUUAUGAAAUGUUGGUAAAUGCACAAUUCCUAAAUGCAGUUUUUAUAAAAUAAAAUAAUAAUAAAAACUCAUAAUUUAACCCCUAUUUUCACAAAUGUCAUUUUUUAUAAAAACUUUCAAAAAUAACAAAAAACUCAUCUAAGGGCCAUUUGGCAUUGUUGUGCUAUGAAAAUAAUUGCUAUCAGAUUUGCUGUGAGAGAAAGCAAUUUGGGGUUUGGUAAACUUUUUGUUAAAAGUGUUGUUUGUACAAUAAUUAGUUUCUGAGUGUUUGGUAAAGUUUUUUUUUGUGAAAGUGCUAUGAGCUAUAAUGACUAAAAAGUGCAAUAUGUUGAAAUGACUUUUCUGUUCAAUUGUUUGGUAAAAAGAAAAGCACUUUCACUUUCUCUUAUAUAUUUUUUUGUAUUAAAUAUGUAUCCAUCGCACCCUAAAAAUUAUUUUAAUUCUAAAAUAAAUAAAGUAUUCCAUUAAAAAUAAAUAUAUUGGCAAUAAUAUGGUCAUAACAAAAAUUAAACUAGUCAUAAACAAGCAAUCAUAUACAUUUCUAAGUAGAUGAACUCAUUAAAUUUGCAGCUAUAUAAUUUCUCAAUGCCUCAAUUUCUUGUGUUACAAGACCAUCUUCUUGUUAUGCAUCAAUCUCUCACUCAAUAUGUUCACCUUGAAAACCAUUUAGGUCAUCUUCACUUUCAUCAAAAUGACAAUUGUGGGAGUGAUUUUCCUCCCAAGAGAAUAUUCGUCUCGUGAUCCCUUCUUCCCCUUUGUUCCUCUUUCUCCCUGCAAAAUAAUACAGAGUGAAAAGACCAUACUCGGGGGGUGUUGGCCAAAGGCCCUUUGAUGCCAAAGUCAAUUAAAUGAUUCUGAGAAGAAUGUAGAAAUAAUUGAAAGGUAGGAGGUCUUUUUCUCACGAGGAGAACUGAGAGGCCGGAGCUCCGUGUGAAGGCUGGAGUCUUAUGUGAGAGAGGGAGAAAGUGGCGAUAGCAAGCUUGUGAGAGGGAAUUUUUGCAAGCUUGUGGCGACGGCAAACAUGUAUUUAUAGGAGUCUUGGUGGCUAGGGUUUUAGAAGAAUAAUUCCUCACAUGGAAAGGAAUUGUUUUUUCCUAAUUUGGAGAGAUUGAAUCACUUAGGGAUUUGAUUAGAAUCCAAUCUCCAAUUAUGGCAAGAAUCCCAAAUUUAAUCAAAUAACCCCCAAAUUGAUGGGAUUAAUUGUUUGACCAAGGAUUUGCAAAUAUUUUCUUCCACAAAUGCCCCCCCCCCCCCCCCCCCCCAAAACUCCUGCAUGACGCAUGGUGCAUGGUGGCAUGGAGGAGGCUUGAAUUAAUUGUUGGGCUAUUCGUCUGCAUUUGGGCUUCUUUUUGUGACUUGGAGGAGGAGGGCAUUGACUUACUAAUUUUUCUAAAUUACAAACUUACUUCCUCUACUUUCCGUUAAUGAGAAAGAUCUUAGAGGAUUGUCCUGCUUGUCAAGGAGAGGAGUUGCCGUGUAAUCCAAGGUAGGACAACUUGGAUUUUUUUUUUUUUGAUUUUUUCAUGUUAUGAGGUCCAACUAGUGGGACCAACUUGUAUAAUUACCGGACUUUGGUAAUGGUGGCACAGCGGUCCGGUGGUGUUUGGUGGCAGUCAUGGUUACGGCAGCUACAGUUGAGACUUGCAGCUAGGGCUGGAGCAACAGCAAGGGCUGAAGGUGCAGGCCUGCUGUUGGAGACAAGCGGGCCUGCUGCUGGUGGGCAACCCUAGAAACAUAUCAAGUUCAUGACCUGUGGCUCUGAUACCAAUUGUUGGUUUCAAAAUAUUUUUAAGAAGUUCAUUUGAAUGUUAAACUUGCAUUUAAUCAAAUUAAUCUUAGCGGAAUGGUGGUUGUUUAACUUUCUUCCAAGUAUCUUAAGCCAAGAACAUUGAUAUGUUUUCAAAAAAUGAACGUACAAGCGAAAAGGACAUGUUGUAAUUACCCUUGAAGCUAUAAUAUGAACCAAGUUGUGUUUUGGUCUCCUCUUGAUGACUUUCCUUUGUUGAUCUCCUCUUGGAUCUUUCUCCUCCUUAUGAGCCAACAACGGAUAUAGCCUCUAAGUCUCCAUACUAAUGGAACCGUGAGAUGAGAGGGAAGAAUCUUGGGAAUUCAAAGACGCUAGUGCAAGAUCCCCAAGACUUGGUUUCAAUCUAAACCCCUUGAAAGAUGAAAAUGUUUCACUCUUGAAAACUCUAUUUUAUCUCUCUUUGAUCUCCCAAACCUAUUUGGUUGAUGUUGGAUUGUGUUUAUGUGUUCAUAAGCUUGUGGAGAUAACUUCCAUACACUUACUUAUACAUUUUUGGCCAAACCCCACUAGGCUUCUAAUUUUGGGUCUUAGGACACUUAAAUCAUAGUAUUUAGGGGUCUUAAGCCAUUGGGCUUGUUACCCAACCAUUUGGGCUUCUCGUUAACUCUUACCGAUGCCCAAAUACACUUUUACACAUAGUAAAUCAUCCGCAUCAAAUCAAUCAAAUUCAUUUCCACAAUUUCAUAUAUUUUUCUCAUAGUUAACCAUUUAAAGUGUGCGAUCCAUUAGGUUCUAAUUAGCAAGGCAAUGGAAAAAUAUUAGAACUCUUUUUAAUCAACUAGAAUUAAAACCCCCUUUUUAAUUCUUCCUUUAUAUGGAUCGAUCACAAUUAAUCCUAAGACUUCCACAAGCCAAGAGUGACAUCUAGCAAUAUAUCAAGGCUACCCAAGCUAACCAGAAUAGUUGAAGAACCUAUUCAAUUGGAAUUGUAAUGCAAUACGGUCCUUAUCUAAUACAAUGUUUCAAAUCAUAUUAUUAGGGUACAAAUUGAUUAUGUCAAACCCCUCAUAUGAUUAACCUCAUCUGAUUCAAUAAAACAUGAUUAAGAACCACUUUCUAAAUCAUGCUCAAGUACUUCGGACGAAGAUUCAUUGAAUCAUAUCUUGAAACAUGCUCCUUUAUCAAAGAUUGAGAUUCCUUAUUGUACAUUUAUAUGCCCCCAUAAUGAAUUAAGAGAUCCCAAUAACACAUAAGGAAAAUCUUUUACGACUCGCCUGUGCGAGCUAUCAAAGAUCAAUAACGCAUCACAAGACAACCAUGAUGCCUCAGGUCUAAGGACUAAUUUGUAUUAUUGCAACUAUGAGUUCUCAUUUGACAUGUAUAUGAAACUCCAUACGAGAAUUUCGGUUGACCGCGUUCAGUGUGCUCAUAUCAUUCACCAAUGAGCACCACAUACUUAUAUUAGUGUCAUCUUCACAAAUGGUUUGAGACUAACUGUCCUCCUAAUUGAGCAUACAUAGUAUGUGCUAAUCUUGAUGGUUUAUCAGUGCCCAUUUGAUAAUCCUUUGAUUAGGAACAUUUGGGAUACUACAGUUAGAGAUUAAAGGUCUACCAAAUCUAAUCUUCUUUAGAUUACUUUAUCUCUUAUUUAGCAUACCUUGGACAUUUAUUUUUUACACGAUACAAAAGAUAACAAAAUAAACUUGCCAUUUGUUUAUCAUAUACAAAAUGUAUUCUAAGGAGAUUACAUUAAAUGUAUUGGCUCUUAGAACACAUUUCUAACAUCUCUCUGAAUUGCAAGGAGUCAGCAAAGAAGAAAGGGAUGACUUUAGGUUUUGUGACUUUUAUCUCACAGAGACAAAGAUUGAGAGUUACGAUAGGAUGCUGGGCAUGAGGGUGGGGGAAGUUGGUAGGUAUGGUCGUGUGGUGGCUAGGAUGAGGGUGGUGGUUGUCGUGGAUGUUUCGAAUGGGGAUAGAGAACUAAUCGCCGUGGGUGCGUUGGUGAAAGCGGCUGGCCAUUUAUGGGGGUUGUGGGUUAGUUUUUAAUUUUUUUUAAAAAAAUACUUUUAAAUUAUUUUUUUGCCACAUCAGCAUAAAAAAUGUAAUUUACAUUUGCCACAUCAGCAUUUAACGAAUCAACUAAUAGAUUGGGCAACGAAGGAUGUCUUUUGAAAGGUGUUGCAAAGUUUGUGUAGUGGUCAAACGAGUCAAUAAACAUUGAUUAUAAAUUUGUAAUUGCACCCAUAAUUUGGGGGUUUACUCUAGUUAAUCCAAAUUUCCAAGGUUAUAAAGUACUUCUAACUUUUAUUAUUAAAAUCUAAACAAAAUAAGGAAUGGUUAAAUUUCUAAUAUUACUUACGAUUUGCAGUAUCUUAACUCAAAAUGUCCAAUUGUCAAGUACAGAUGCAAUAGUAAUAAUUGACGGAAAAAAUGAAGAUUUGACAAACAAGCAUAGGGUACAGAGAGGCUUCUCUUCCUUGGUUUCAUUAAAAAUUUCUAUGUUUUGUUCACAAUUUAUCUAAUUUUUACCUAUAUCAAUAUUUCCUAAACUUUUGAUAUUUAAGACCUUGAUUGAUCACCACUGAAGCAAAAUGAAUAACGCUACUCUUACCAUAUUUGUAUAUCACAUUCCCAUAUCACCUUAUGUGAGAAAUGAGGUGGACAACCACAUCAAUUAAAUUUAUUUAACAUUAUUUUUAUAUGAUUUACUUUAAAAAACACUGUUAAUUAUUAUUAUUAUUUUAUUAAAAUACACUUCAUUGAUUUAAUUGAUAUGACAUAUAAUAUAUGGGAUAAAAAUAUAAUAAAUGUAGCAUUACUCAUUCAAAGUACACAGCUUUUCUAUCUAGUGGUGAGAGUGGUUUAAUUUCCAACAACAUGCAUGUGUUGGUUCAAAACAUUAUACCCACAGUUCAGCCAACUAGACAUGGCCAAUAUGACAUCAAUCACGUUCCAAAAAUUUGAAUUUUACAAACAUAAACACCUUUCCUUCGCAAAAAGACAACCUCCAGAGCAACUUUUUUCAACUUCCAUCUAGAAGAUUGCCUAUAUAAAUUUGAGGUCAACACCGCACAAGAAAACCCUACAAUCCAUUUCGUAGAAUAUAUUUUUUUUUUUCAUUCCUAACGAAGAUAUUUAGUGGAGGUGAGCCCUUAGCAUCAGCCAUUUUUACUUUUCUACGUCGGCAAUGUGAUUCAAGCUUUCACAACAAAUGGAUGACUCGUAAGUAAUGUGGUUAAUUUCCUUUGAACUGUAGAUUUUCAUUGGGCACACUGUUUUUUUUUUUUUAAGUAGGUACAGAACAUGUGUGAUCAAAACCUGAUGAUCUUUAGUUUUAACCCAUAAAAAACUUAACUAAUUUGGAAGAAAGAUACUGAAUUUUGCUUAAUUAAUAUAAAACCAAAGCCACCUAAUUUUACCAAAAGGACAUCCAACAACCCUAAAAUUACUACAUGUGCCAUUGUGCUUAACUGUCAAAUACAGUUUAUUUAAUUAUAAACCAAAACUUAAAACUGUCAAAACGACAUAACAUUCCCACAAAACACAACACAAAACGACACUACUCAAAUUUAAUCACUUCAAAAACUGGUUUCGCACGACCUUUCAUAUCUCACUCCAAAAACGCAACCGACGAGCAGAAACGAAGACAACGAGAACGGCGACGGCGACGACGAGCAACGACGACGAGCAACGACCACCGACGACGAGCAAAGACCACCAACGACGACCGAAGCUAAACCGUAAGAAAAUGAAUCAGUACUCUCUUCGAUUUUAGGUUUUACACCGACGAAGGUUUCAGUACUGUUUCUUCCUUUUGUUUUCUGGUUGUUUGUCUUCGAUUUUGACCAGAAACUGCAUUGCAGUUUCUGGUUCCAAAAUUCAAUUUCAGAGUGCUUUUUGCUAGGGUUUAUGGGAAUGUUAUAACUGCUCAUGAAUUUAAAUGUGUUUUGAUAUUCGUUUUUGCUACCGUUUCUUCCUUUUGUUUUUUGGUUGUUUGUCUUCGAUUUCAGAGUGCUUUUUGCUAGGGUUUAUGGGAAUGUGAUAACUGCUCAUGAAGUUAAAUGUGUUUUGAUAUUCGUUUUUGCUACUGCUUUUGCCUUUUGGUUUCUGGUUAUUUGUAGCAGAUUUCAGAGUGCUUUUUGCUGGUUUAUGGGAAUGUUAUAACUGCUCAUGAAGUUAAAUGUGUUUUGAUAUUCGUUUUUGCUACUAUUUUUGCCUUUUGGUUUCUGGUUAUUUGUAGCAGAUUUUGACCAGAAACUGCAGUGCAGUUUCUGGUUCCAUAAUUCAAUUUCAGAGUGCUUUUUGCUGGUUUAUGGGAAUGUUAUAACUGCUCAUGAAGUUAAAUGUGUUUUGAUAUUAGUUUUAGUACUUUGCCUUUUGGUUUCUGGUUCCAUAAUUCAAUUUCAGAGUGCUUUUUGCUAGGAUUUAUAGGAAUGUUAUAACUGCUCAUGAAGUUAAAUGUGUUUUGAUAAUAGUUUUAGCUACUGUUCUUGCCUUUUGUUUUCUGGUUAUUUGUAGCAGAUUUUGACCAGAAACUGCAGUGCAGUUUCUGGUUCCAUAAUUCAAUUUCAGAGUGCUUUUUGCUAGGGUUUAUGGGAAUGUUAUAACUGCUCAUGAAUUUAAAUGUGUUUUGAUAUUCGUUUUAGCUACUGUUCUUGCCUUUUGGUUUCUGGUUGUUUGUCUUCGAUUUUGACCAGAAACUGCAUUGCAGUUUCUGGUUCCAUAACUCAAUUUCAGAGUGCUUUUUGCUAGGAUUUAUGGGAAUGUUAUAACUGCUCAUGAAUUUAAAUGUGUUUUGAUAUUCGUUUCAGUACUGUUUUUGCCUUUUGGUUUCUUUUCACAUCAAAUUUUGAGCAGCAGUUUCUGGUUGUUUGUUGCAGAUUUUGACCACAAAAACUGCAGUGCAUAUCAAAAAAUGGAACAAGAAAUGUCACCACAAAAGAAUGAAGCUGAAAACCAACCAAAGCGCAGAAUCAAAAUGAUGGCUCAAAGGAUCAAAACAAAGCCAAAGCCAAACUAUGAUCGGAAAGCAAAGCACCCGGACUAUGUCCAAUUUCGGUGCAAUGCCUAUGCUUUCAACAGCAUCAUUAGAGACAUAAAGGACAAGCUCAAUGAAAGGCAGAAGAAGCUUCUCAAGAAAACCCCUUUCUGGAACUUGAUCGAGCUGUUUUACCGCCAGAGAAUUGACAUGAAUAACAUGAAUAAGUCGGACAUUGACUUAGCACAGCUGCUCAAGAAAUUUGAUCCGGAUACAAAGUCCUUCAAAUUUGGAACCAAAUCAUUCCAAAUCACAAGCAAUGCAGUGACUCAGAUUCUAGGACUGCCAAAUGAAGGCAAAUCUGUCAAACUUGUCAAUGAUAGGUACACUGCUACCUUCAGAACAAGACACUUUGGAGAAAAGGGAAAACCUUCAAAAAACCAGGUAGAAGCAGAAUUACAAAAGACAAUGGCCUUGGCAAACCAACCGAAGAAAGAAAAGGCAAAGACAAAGCAAAAGAAAAAAACGAACAAAGGAAAAGAAAAGAAAGAAGCUGAAGAAGAAGAAGAAGAAGAAGUUGAUUACGACAAGGAGGUGGUCAGCCUAAUGUUGAUUCUGCUGUGCAUGACAUUCCUUUUUGCCAACUCUUCAUCUACUUUGCAUUGGAAAUUAUUUGAGCACUGUGUGAAUCUAGACACACUUUCAAGCUAUUCGUGGGCAAGAGCUGUUUCAGCCUAAAUGAAUGAAUCCUUGACCGCAAAAGCAAAGAAGGGAGGAGAAGCCUCUAUAGGAGCUGUUUCGGGUUGCACUAUCCUAAUAUUGGUAAGUAAACAGUGGCUUAUGCAAUGCAUUUUGAGUUUUAGGCAAUGCAGUUUCCAUUUAGUGCAAUGCAGUUUCCAUUUACUGCAAUGCAGAAAUGGAAACUGCAACGCAGUUUCUGUUUUAUCCUAUGCAGUUUCCAACCUAAUUUCUGAUAUAUCUUGUUUUUGAACUGUGCAGUUUCUCUGUGUGAGAGGACAAACAUCACACAACCAAUCCUUGGCAAGGAGAAAGAAACUCCUGCCAUUCUUAAAUGGAGUCUUGUGGAACUCCACACAAGAUUCAACCAAAUAAAGGACUUGAAUGACAUCGAGGUGUGCAAUUUAUCGCAUGUUCUGUUUUAAUGUAUCUUGAAUGUGAAUCCAUGCUAAAUCAUUCUCAUUGUACAGGGUAUUUUUAAAACUCCUAAAAAGCGAAAAACUACCAGGGAAGAGGAAGACACUGUUGAGAAGGUAAUUGAAAUCUGUAUACAGUGCAUUGCAGUUUGUGUUUUCUAUAUUGCAGUUUGCAUUUUAUCCAAUGCAGUUUCUGAAUCAUUCAAUCUCAUUGUACAGGGUAUUUUGAAAACAUAUAAAAAGAGAAAAACUACCGGAGAAGAGGGAGACCCUCUUGACAAGGUAUAAGAAUCUCUAAACAGUGAAUUAUGCAUUUCGGUUUUCGUUUCCUCCAAUGCAAUGCAGUUUCUAAUUAGUUUCUGUUCAAUAUGCAGGAAAAAGAAAAAGAAGAUGAUGAGGGAAAACCUGAUGAUGCAAUUCAAGACCUCUUGGUGAAGUCCAUGACAGACCAAAUCAACUACCGCCAACAACAAGAUCCUAGCUUCGUUUGCCCGGAAAGAUUACAACUGUGGAAGGAUGAAAAAAAUGAAGACAGUGAGAAGAAAAUGAAGGAAUUGUGGGAUAUAUUUAUCCAAGCAGAAAAGAGAUCAAAGGAGCUGGAAGUGGAGUUGGCAACAUACAUAGAGAAAUUAGAUAAUGAAGAAUGUGUGACUACCACCAUGACAGUGGAAUCUACAGUUCAGCUUAAUGAAAUACAAAAUCUGAAAAGGAGGAUUGCAGAAUUGGAAGGCAAGGAAACUGGUAUUGACAUGGAGAAGAUUGCCAAGAAAAAGGAGAUUCAAGGAAAGUAUAAGGCAGAAAUUGAAAGCUUGUUGUCAGACCCAACAAUCUUUGAAAUGGAGAUGGAUCUGCCUACAAAACAACCAACACAACCAGUUGAAGAGAAAGAAGAAGAAAAGAAAGAAGAAGAGAAGCAACAAGAAGAGAGAGAAGAAGAAAAUAAAGAACAAGAGAAGCAACAAGAAGAAAGAGAAGAAGAGAAGAAGCAAGAUGCUCCAACACCUGAUGUUCCUUCAAGAGUACAAAAGGUGAAGAACAGAGAAAGAAAGAGGCUUCAAGCAUCUUGCUAUGUGUACGAAAAAAAUAAGAAAACAAAAAAGGAGGCAAAAAAGGAUGAUGAAGAACUACCACAAUUCAAGCUUAUCUCUUCCGAGGAGGUAUGCAAUUACUGCAGUUCAAGCUGCUGCUUUUUUCUAUUUUCUGCAUUGCAGAAACAGAAACUGCAAUGCAGUUUCCAUUCCCUGCAAUGCAGUGUGUUAUCUGCUUUACAGAAACAGAAACUGCAAUGCAGUUUCCAUUUCCUGCAAUGCAGUGUGUUAUCUGCUUUAUAGAAACAGAAACUGCAAUGCAGUUUCCGUUUCCUGCAAUGCAGUGUGUUAUCUGCUUUACAGAAACAGAAACUGCAAUGCAGUUUCCAUUUCCUAUAAUGCAGUGUGUUAUCUGCUUUACAGAAAUGGAAACUGCAUUGCAGUUUCUGUUUUAUCGAAUGAAGUUUCUAAUUAGUUUCCUUUCAAUCUGCAGUUAACACAAGAGGCAUCUCAGCCCGAUGCCACAAAUCCAAUUCCUGAUCCCCCAAAAGGAACGAGCCUUCAUGAUUCAAUACCUGUGGAUCUGGAACAAUCAAGUGAUGAAGAUGAAGGACAAAAAAAGCCAACAAAGAAAAAAUUAGGAUGGGGUCAGAAGAAGGUGUGGCAGAAAAUUCCAAAGGCGGACAGGGAAAGAAUUGAAAAACACUACUUAAGUACUCAACUUUGGUAACAUCUCUAUUCCAAAAUAACAAUUCUUUCAUCUUUUAAUUACAAUUAAACUAAAACUAAUCUUGUGAAUUUCAUGUAUUCGAAUCCGCAGUGAUAUCUUUUGGGCAGGACUCAAUGAUGAGAAAGUGACAAACCAUGAUCUCAAAGAUAUUGUAUGGGACCUGGAACUGUCACAAAACGUAAGUAUUUACCAAUUCUAUAACACACACUGCACUGUAUUUUUUAUUUGUGCUACCUAUAUUACCCAUUUAUAAUUCCAUUUUUCUCCAAUCAAUGUGAAACAGGUUAUUGAGGCCUAUAUCCAAAUAGAGGAGGAUAAAAUAGAGCCCAUGCAGACAGAGAGUCCACAGUACAUGUCCACAUGGACUUGGGUAAGUAUUAUUUUGAAAAUUCAAAAUUGUUUAAACAGACAAUGCACUGCAGUUUUCGAAAAAUAUAUACUAACAAAUUGCCAUUCUGUGAUAUCAGGCUUACAUGCAAAGCUUCCUAGAGCCAUCUUGGCACAUGUUCCUGUAUGAACCCUUACUUGAAAAACUCGGGAAAUGCAGUGUUCUUUUCUUCCCGAUUAUUUCACAAGAAGAGUUCCACUUCACACUUCUCACAUUUCACAAAAAUGAACGAAAGUGGAGACACUACAAUCCACUUAGAUCGUUGGGACGUAGAAAAGAAGAAAGGUGCAUUGACAUUGCUCGAAACUUUGUAAGUGGAAUGAAACUGUCUUAAUUUCUCAGCACAAACACAAACAGAAACUGCAUUGCAGUUUCUGUAUUAUACAUACUGCCUAAUUUCAGACCAAAACUAUAAUAUGCAAUGCACUGAUUACCAUUUCUUUUUCUCUUUUUUUUUCUUCUUCUUUAAACAGGUUAAUAUUGUUGAAGGGUGGCUAGAAUAUAUAAGACCUCAAGCACGAGUGUUCAUAGAAACAAAAAAAAAACCAACACUUGUGAAGCAAAAGGAAGGGCCCCCGACACUUGUACAAAAAGAUUUGACUCCAAAUGAAGAACUCACUCUCAAAUGGAUUAUGCAAAAUCCAUUGCAGUUUCCAUUUGAGGAUGACAUGGAAUGUGCUCAACAAAGUGCAUCUUCGUAAGAAUUGUGUCUACUCAACUAUUCAUUACAGUUUGAAAUCAUUCAAAAGCAAAAAAAACUAAUCUCGUAUUUCAUUUGCAGAUUGGAUUGCGGCAUGUUCAUCAUGUUCUAUAUGGAUAAAAUAGCACAAGGACAGCCCAUUCCAAAAAGCGUGGACAAGAAAUUCAUGAAUGAAUAUCGAGCACAAUAUGUCACAAAACUCCUACACCACAAAAACUGUGUAAUUAAUCGUCUCUAGUGAUUUGCCUUUCGUUAACUCAAGACAAUAUGUAUCUUAAUUGUUGUGGAUGUUUGUAAAUAUUUCUAGUUAUGGUAUAUGAGAACAUAUUUCCUAUACAUAUAAACUGUAAUAUAAUCUUGGAACAGGAUGCAACAAAACCAAAAGGAAACAAACAAACUGCACUGAAUUUUCUGGUCAAAAAUACUGCAACAAAUUAAAACUGCAGUGCAGUUUAUAUAAAUAAAUAAAAAUAAAAAAUCAGCUCAAAAAAUGUGAAAAGAACCCAAAAGCCAAAGCCAUAAUCAAAGUACUAAAACUUUGUUCAAAACACAUUUAAGUAGGUCAGCAUUGAAAUGUAGUUUCUGCUCAUAAUCUGCAACAAAAUCUGAAAUAAACAGAAACUGCAAUGCAGUUUCUGCAACAAAAUUUGCUCAAAAUCUGAAAACAAGCAUUGAAUGGCAGUCGAAAACGAAUAUCCACUCGUUAAACAAUUGUAUAAUUUUCAUUAACUUCAAAAAAGAAUCACAAUAUCCAAUUAGACGCUGUGUAGCCAAUUACAAGCAACUAAAACUGCAAUACAGUUUUUGCAAAAAGUGCAACGCAGAAACUGACUAUACAUUCGCUAAACCAUAUCUAAAAUAAAAAAUUGUCAAAUGAGAAGGAGUGUUCAUAUAAUAGCCUUGCAAGUCUUCCUAUUGUGCCCAGCAACACUGCACCGACUGCAUUUCAAUGGCCUUUUAAAUUCACCAAAAACUUUGAUCCUCUUUGUUGGUGGUCUUCCGGCUGGCCUCUUUGUAAUUGGCGAAAGCACAACUCCAGCUGCAGAACCUGUAACACCCCGACCCCAAAUUUCCCCAAAAUUUACCCUUAUUUAAUUAUUUAAUUAUUUAAGGGUAUUUUAGUCAUAUUUUUAACCGGAGAGAGUUUGGGACCGUGACUUAUAUUUUUGGAUAGGUCGUACUGAGACGAGUUCAUAGACACGUAGUAGGCUUGAAUCGGAGUUGUAACGAGAGAGAUAUGCUCAAAAGAAAUCCAGUGGCACAAUCGUAAAUAUUUCAAAAUGGGAUUUUUUUAUAAAAAACCUGGUUUUCUCUCUCUCUCUCUCUCUCUCUCUCUCUCUCUCUCUCUCUCUCUCUCUCUCUCUCUCUCUCUCUCUCUCUCUCUCUCUCCCCCGCGGGUCUCUCUCUCUCCUCUCCCUCGCGCGCGACAGCCGGCCACGUUUUGGCUGGCUGUGCUCUCCUCCGGCCACCAAUGGCGACGGGACCGGUACCAAAAUGACCGGGCCGUCAUCCUCUUCCUACCCCAGCCAGCCCCCGCAUCCAGCCGCCGCGGUUUCGCCGGAAUUUGGAGAAGAAGCGGCGGAUGUCGCCGGAACUUCAACGCCGUCGAUCUCCCUCCUCCGGCCACCAAUUCCGUCGACCCAGGUAUGGAUUUUGAACCUCUCAAGCUGCUCUAGCUGAUGGUUGGGUAGGAUUAGAUCGAUUCUUAGCGUAGAUCACUCGAUUUUCGAAUUGAAAAUCGGCCGAAACUUCGGCCGCCGUGAUCGGCCAUUUUCGGCCACUUUUUGGGGUAGGUCCAAGAACAAAAGUGGCUCCAAAUAGGGUGUUAUACCUAGGGUAGGAGUUUGGAGCCGAGAUGUUGAGAUUUUCCGGCGAAGCGUUAUCGCUUUGGGCACCCACGCGCUGCCGGCGCGUGCGGCGGCGAGUGGGCACUGUAGAAAAAGUAGCGAUGUGUUCCAAUGAGAUCCUUAGGUUGUCACGAGUGCGUAGGAUUUCGCGGAUCUCAAUUCGGACGUCGUUUGACUAUCGAACGGAUAAUCGCAUAUUAUGCAUUAUCCGGGUUCGAUAGGUUGGGACCGUCGGAUGGUCCCAAAUUUAAUAUAUGUUAAUCUAGGUAUUUCUAGGAUCGUGUAGGAAUUCACGGAUCGUGAAUCGGAGUCCCGGAUGUUCCGAAUAAUAAUUUUAAUUUUAUAUUUUAUAUUAACCGUCAGAUCGUGCGAUCGUGAGCAAUCCGACCGUCCGAUCUGAACCAAACUUGCAGGACAAGUGUCCUAUACCUGGUAGAACCCAUAGGGACUUCCGGAUCGGAAAUUGGAGGUCGUGGGUUUUGCAGGUCCGGUUGACCAGGGUUAGAGUAGUUUGACCCUUGGUUGACCGUGAGUCUCCCGGAGUAAUCUCACCUUUCUAGGGGGGAUUAUCGGGUGCUAGAUGAUUGUGGAGGGUUACACAAUAUUAAAAUUAAUUUAUAUAACUAUAAUUAUAUAUGGUUGUACAAGGGUACAACAGAGUCUAGAAUGUCAGUUUGGAGUGCUAUACGCACUACUUUAGGUACCUCCCCAGAUUUUGGAUUCACUGCAAGCACCACCAAGUGAAAGUUAGGUCCCGCGUGGCGUAGGUUAUCCGGCGUUGGGACAGACCCCAUACGUGGCGUUGGUUGUACCGACGUAUGGGGAGAUUUACAAUAUGAUGUUCAGGUCUCACGUGGCGUAGGUUAUCCGGCGUUGAGACAGGCCCCGUACGUGGCGUUGGUUGUACCGGCGUACGGGGAGAUUAUGUGAUAUGAUGUUGAGGUCCCGCAUGGCGUAGGUUAUCCGGCGUUGGGACAGGCCCCAUACGUGGCGUUGGUUGUACCGGCGUAUGGGGAGAAUAUGUGAAAUGCAGAGAAAGGAAAUAAGGUAUCACCGAUGUGUGGAAUUGGGUUUUAGGGAAGAACUACGUGUGGCUUGAUCCCUCAAGAAGGGUACGUAGGCAGUCUAAGGUUAUUAGGUGCAGCCGCAGACUAAAUAUUAGUCAUGAUUUGUAUUUGAAUGGUUUGGUAGUUGGAUAGGAAUUAUCGAAAGGCCGAAGGCCAUUUGUGUGAAUUGCAUGAAAUUAUAUUGUGCAUGCUGCCAGUUGGGAAUAUUAAAUGCGUUUUUAUGCAGGUUGAAAUUUUGGGAAAUGUCCAAUUUAUAGGGGAGACUCUGCCGAAAUUUCGGCAGGAAGUCUCGGUUUUUAGUAAGUGGGCCUGGCAUCGGGGUGAUGUCAGGAAUUCCAAAGGGUUCGUCUCGGGUUUUGAGAAAAUUCGGGGCGGUUCCUUAAAGUUGGUAUCAGAGCUCUAGGUUCAAUUCCCUGUGGACCCUGCACUUUAUGUGCAUCCUUAAAUUGUGGGGAUCAAAAUGGGUUCCAUCUCAGAAUGGUACAUUUGCGACGUUGAGGACGUCACAAAAGUCAAAUUAUUUCACAAAGGAAAGGUACAUAGGCCGCCGAAGCAUGAGUAGAGCUGGAGCUUUACCACAGACAGUUGUUGUUUCGGGAGGAUAUGGAGUUGAUCAACCUGCUUCUAGGGAUCCUCCAUUGCCUGAACAUGUUGCUAAUUUUCGAUUGUGUGCCUAGAGCACCGAGUCGAAGAUCCUAAGAGCAUAACCUCUCUCUGGGACGAGUAACUCCCCGACAUUGGAUCAAGGGAUCCAGGGUCUGAAGGGUGGCGUUGGUAUAAUCGAAAUCACAAGUGUCUCUUACAGAAAGAGGCUCGUGUGUGGUGGGAAUACUAUGGUCAAGUCUAAGGACGAGACCCAGAUGGAUGGAGAGAGUACCUUGGGGUCUCAUCUCACGUGAGCACGUUUGAGUAGAGAUCUUUCAUCGGAAUCAGAAAUGGAUCAUGGUCGAGAGAGAUCGACGAUGAUUACAAUUCGGUAAAAAUGAUCCUUUCUGACAUUUCUCUCAAAGAAUCAGGUUGGCAGAUUAAAGGGAGAAGUAGUGGAGUUGGGUGGAACCGUACUUCAUUCGUGUGGGCUUGAAUGCCGCGAUUGACAGGAGUGGAACAUUAGGGUUCUUCCUCCUUGCUCUCUCACGUGAGCUCGCCAUAGUUAGAGAAGGAGACUUCUCUUUCUCUGCUUGCUUAGCUAGAGCUUUUGGCUUGGUUGCCAACGCGGUUGUGGAGAAAGAACUUGGGAACCCGAGUGGUAGAUGCAGGCCCCAUGCUCACAACCCUUCGAGUGACAAGGUAGGAAAUUUCGGGGACGAAAUUUUUAUAAGGGGGGUAGUCUGUAACACCCCGACCCCAAAUUUCCCCAAAAUUUACCCUUAUUUAAUUAUUUAAUUAUUUAAGGGUAUUUUAGUCAUAUUUUUAACCGGAGAGAGUUUGGGACCGUGACUUUUAUUUUUGGAUAGGUCGUACUGAGACGAGUUCAUAGACACGUAGUGGGCUCGAAUCGGAGUUGUAACGAGAGAGAUAUGGUCAAAAGAAAUCCAGUGGCACAAUCGUAAAUAUUUCAAAAUGGGAUUUUUUUAAAAAAAACCUGGUUUUCUCUCUCUCUCUCUCUCUCCCCCGCGGGUCUCUCUCUCUCCUCUCCCUCGCGCGCGACAGCCGGCCACGUUUUGGCCGGCUGUGCUCUCCUCCGGCCACCAAUGGCGACGGGACCGGUACCAAAAUGACCAGGCAGUCGUCCUCUUCCUACCCCAGCCAGCCCCCGCCUCUAGCCGCCGCGGUUUCGCCGGAAUUUGGAGAAGAAGCGGCGGAUGUCGCCGGAACUUCAACGCCGUCGAUCUCCCUCCUCCGGCCACCAAUUCCGUCGACCCAGGUAUGGAUUUUGAACCUCUCAAGCUGCUCUAGCUGAUGGUUGGGUAGGAUUAGAUCGAUUCUUAGCAUAGAUCACUCGAUUUUCGAAUUGAAAAUCGGCCGAAACUUCGGCCGCCGUGAUCGGCCAUUUCCGGCCACUUUUUGGGGUAGGUCCAAGAACAAAAGUGGCUCCAAAUAGGGUGUUAUACCUAGGGUAGGAGUUUGGAGCCGAGAUGUUGAGAUUUUCCGGCCAAGCGUUAUCGCUUUGGGCACCCACACGCUGCCGGCGCUUGCGGCGGCGCGUGGGCACUGUAGAAAAAGUAGCGAUGUGUUCCAAUGAGAUCCUUAGGUUGUCACGAGUGCGUAGGAUUUUGCGGAUCUCAAUUCGGACGUCGUUUGACUAUCGAACGGAUAAUCGCAUAUUAUGCGUUAUCCGGGUUCGAUAGGUUGGGACCGUCGGAUGGUCCCAAAUUUAAUAUAUGUUAAUCUAGGUAUUUCUAGGAUCGUGUAGGAAUUCACGGAUCGUGAAUCGGAGCCCCGGAUGUUCCGAAUAAUAAUUUUAAAUUUAUAUUUUAUAUUAACCGUCAGAUCGUGCGAUCGUGAGCAAUCCGACCGUCCGAUCUGAACCAAACUUGCAGGACAAGUGUCCUAUACCUGGUAGAACCCAUAGGGACUUCCGGAUCGGAAAUUGGAGGUCGUGGGUUUUGCAGGUCCGGUUGACCAGGGUUAGAGUAGUUUGACCCUUGGUUGACCGUGAGUCUCCCGGAGUAAUCUCACCUUUCUAGGGGGGAUUAUCGGGUGCUAGAUGAUUGUGGAGGGUUACACAAUAUUAAAAUUAAUUUAUAUAACUAUAAUUAUAUAUGGUUGUACAAGGGUACAACAGAGUCUAGAAUGUCAGUUUGGAGUGCUAUACGCACUACUUUAGGUACCUCCCCAGAUUUUGGAUUCACUGCAAGCACCACCAAGUGAAAGUUAGGUCCCGCGUGGCGUAGGUUAUCCGGCGUUGGGACAGACCCCAUACGUGGCGUUGGUUGUACCGGCGUAUGGGGAGAUUUGCAAUAUGAUGUUCAGGUCUCACGUGGCGUAGGUUAUCCGGCGUUGAGACAGGCCCCGUACGUGGCGUUGGUUGUACCGGCGUACGGGGAGAUUAUGUGAUAUGAUGUUGAGGUCCCGCGUGGCGUAGGUUAUCCGGCGUUGGGACAGGCCCCAUACGUGGCGUUGGUUGUACCGGCGUAUGGGGAGUUAUGUGAUAUGAUAGUAUGGCAUGGUCGCACGUGGCGUAGGUUAUCCGGCGUGUUGACAGGCCCCAUACGUGGCGUUGGUUGUACCGGCGUAUGGGGAGAAUAUGUGAAAUGCAGAGAAAGGAAAUAAGGUAUCACCGAUGUGUGGAAUUGGGUUUUAGGGAAGAACUACGUGUGGCUUGAUCCCUCAAGAAGGGUACGUAGGCAGCCUAAGGUUAUUAGGUGCAGCCGCAGACUAAAUAUUAGUCAUGAUUUGUAUUUGAAUGGUUUGGUAGUUGGAUAGGAAUUAUCGAAAGGCCGAAGGCCAUUUGUGUGAAUUGCAUGAAAUUAUAUUGUGUAUGCUGCCAGUUGGGAAUAUUAAAUGCGUUUUUAUGCAGGUUGAAAUUUUGGGAAAUGUCCAAUUUAUAGGGGAGACUCUGCCGAAAUUUCGGCAGGAAGUCUCGGUUUUUAGUAAGUGGGCCUGGCAUCGGGGUGAUAUCAAGAAUUCCAAAGGGUUCGUCUCGAGUUUUGAGAAAAUUCGGGGCGGGUCCUUAAAGAACCAUUGCUGCCCAAUCCUUUCUCAAUAUCUGGAAUAGGAAAAAUAGGACUCUCAUAGGCUUUUCGAAAGAAGUCGGUUUUGUAGUAACACUCCACGUAAUCAUAAACUGAAUCUCUCUUUCCUAGGAUUGCAGCCACCGCAUGUGUGCAAGGAAAACCGUCAAUUUGCCAAAGACGGCAAGAACAAGUCCUUUGCUCGAGAUCAACCAUCACAGAAUAAUCAGCAAAUACUUCAAAAAUAGUGCAAUUAGAACGACGAACUGCCCAAGUCCUACCGGCCUCCGCAUUUUCACAGAGUCUAGUCUCCAUCUCCGGACACAAAACUGUUGUCCACUUCUCCGCUUCAAUUCGUCGUUGAGAAUUCAAUACCAUCAAUUUCUGUCGAAUCCCUUCUAUCAAAGGUAGCACCGGCAAAUCUCGAAACACACCAACCCAAUUAUUAAAGGACUCCGCUAAACUGUUUGCCAUCUCCCCAUAACGCAUUCCUUUGAAAAAUGCGUUGGCAUAGUGAUCUCUAGACAAAUCAGUUAUAAAUGUCUUCACUUUCGAACUCCCAACAAUCACCAACUCCUCCAUUGCUACCUUAAACUCUUCCUCCGUAACAGCAUAUGCGCAUCUACUAAAUAAAUUUAUAACACGGUCUUGGAGCAGUUUCCCAUAACCUGACUUCGGGUACUUUGAUAUCAAAUUCUGUUUGAGGUGAUAAUAACAGUAAGAAUGAGGCCAUCCGGGAAACACAAACCCCAUUGCAUUUAACAAACCUUGAUUGCGGUCCGAGAAAAAGGUCACCACUCUCCCCAUCGGUAGCAAUAUAGAAGCCAAAUGUUGAAGAAACCAAGUCCAAUUCUCCGCUGUCUCAGAAUCAACAACUCCAAAAGCUAGAGGAUAAAACCCUGCAAAACAAAACCAAAAGCACAAGUAUAAGCAAAAAAGGGAAACUGCAAUGCAGUUUCUGCUAAAAUUGCAACAAAUGAAAAUCUGCAAUACAUUACAGUAACCAUACCUUGAUUUCCAUUCUUUCCCGAAGCACAGAGAAGCUGCCCCUUGUACUUGCUCUUCAAAAACGUAGCAUCAAUGAACAACAAGGGUAUGCAAUAUUGAAAUCCAGCAAUGCAACCGCCAAAAGACACAAAAAACCGUCGAAAGCGAUUAAUUCCAGCUUCACAAUCAAGAGUGCAGAGAGAACCAGUGUUAGUUUCCUUUACGGCGUCCGCAUACCACACUAACUCGUUGAAGGACUUCGACUCAUCACCGUGAACGUCCAAUUUAGCUAACUCUUUGCCAAACCAUGCGUGGUAGUACGAAAUGUCUAUACCAUAAUAAUCUUUGAACUCGUGUAUAAUCUCAACUGGCUUCAGCUCUGGUUUUGCACGAAUUCUGUCCACAAUGAGGGAGGACACCACACGAGACCUCAUCAUCUUACUCUUUGAUUCCCGUAUCCGACCCGCACAUGUAUGAACAUUAUUUAACGUCCGAAUUACAAAACUGCCAGUAGCUUCACAACGAGAAGCAUAAACACGCCAGCUGCAACCCUCCAAUUUCUUAUUCGAACAAACAGUAACCACCCGCUUCUUGUCAUUGCCGGCAUAUAAAAAAUUAAAUCCUACUUCAAGAGCGUACUUGCACAAUUUCAACCGGAACUCCUCUGCACCACCGUCAAACUUCUGCCCCACAUGAUGUAUGUAUGUCUCCCACUCAUUCGACAACAAAGGCUUAGCACUUGCUCUCUUCGACCUGCCCAAAAACUUGUUUCUGUCUUCGACAGUACUAGAACACGACGACUCGCCCUUUUCACAUGCUAUCAACUCCUUAUUUACACAAAAAUCACCACUAUAUUCACUGCUCCCGCAUAAAUCCUUCACUAAAAUAUCAACAGUCUUCUCAUUUGAUAUCAACAAAAAUGUCCUCAUCAAGUCCAAAUCGCUAUCCGUUUCUAGAAAACAACUCGGAUAACUGGGCACCGAAUACCGUAAUGUGAAACAACCCAACUGCAAACCCCUAAACCUCAGACACAAAGUCUUCAAAAUAUCAACCAUGGAUGACUCUGAUGAAACUGAAAACAUGAUGGUUUCCGACUUAUAUGUGCACUUGGCAAUGACACACCCCUCCAUUAGCCUUGAAAAUGCAAACAAAACAACAAACAAAAACAGAAAACAAUUAAAAUCACUAAAUAAUGUACAUGAGCAGUUGUAACAUUCCAAUAGAAAUCCAAAUAUUAGUAUGAAAUCGAAUUAUGAAACAAGAAACUGCACUGCAGUUUAUAGUCAAAAACUGAAAUAACAGAAACAACAUUGCACUUUAUGUGAUAACAUACCCUUAAAUUUGAAUAGAAACCAAAAGAAAACCAUGUUCAAAGUACUAAAACUUAGAUAAAAACACAUUUAACUCCAUGAGCAGUUGUAACAUUGCCUUUAUGAAACCAAAAACUGCAAUGCAGUUUCUGCCAACACUCCAACAAACAGAUGCAGUUUAUAACAGAGGAGGCAAAACAAAUCGAAUAGAAACCAAAAGGAAACCACGUUAAAAGUACUAAAACUAAUAUCAAAACACAUUUAACUCCAUGAGCAGUUGUAACAUUGCCUUUAUGAAACCAGAAACUGCAAUGCAGUUUCUGCCAACACUCCAACAAACAGAUGCAGUUUAUAACAAAGGAGGCAAAACAAAUCGAAUAGAAACCAAAAGGAAACCACGUUAAAAGUACUAAAACUAAUAUCAAAACACAUUUAACUCCAUGAGCAGUUGUAACAUUGUCUUUAUGAAACCAGAAACUGCAAUGCAGUUUCGGCCAACACUCCAACAAACAGAUGCAGUUUAUAACAGAGGAGGCAAAACAAAUGGAGCCGCAAAACUGAGCCACAAGAUCACUCCACAAAAUCGAGCCACAAAACUGAGCUCGAAAAACCCAAAACUGAUAGAUUCGGCAUGAUAAUCGAACGAAAGAUUAUCCAAUUAGAAGGAAACAAACAAACUGCACUGAAUGUUGGAACAGGAUGCGGCAUGAUAAUCGAACGAAAAAGAUUCGGCAUGAUAAUCGAACAAAAAAACUGACAGAUUCGGCAUGAAAAUCGAACGAAAAAGGAAGAAAUAAAAGGAAAACCAACCAGAAAAUUGAGCUCCAACGGCGAGAAUGAAAACGAAAACGAACGAAAUCUGCUUGCCAAACGAACGAAAUCUGCCUGCCAAACGAACGAGGAUGAAAACGAAACAGAGAAGAACAAAGCGCUGCUGCCAAACAAACGAGGACGAAAACGAAACAGAGAAGAACAGGCUCGCGCCUUGUUUAAACAUUCAGGGGCAAAAGCGUCAUUUACUUUGUAGGUUUACAAAUGGGCCAGGCUUUUUAAGAAGAAGGGUAGAAUUGUCUUAUCAGUUGUUAUUUUUUACCUGGCCCAACGAAUCUGGGCCUCUCUUUGGGCUAAUCCAAAAUAGUAGUUUUUUCCUAGGUAUUAAAACUAAAACCAAAAUAUCCAAUAUCUUACAAACUAAUUAAUAAAGUUAAUUAUGUCUAAAACCUAAUUUUUCUAAAUAAAAAAAAACUGAUUCUUUUUGUAUGCACCUGAUCAAACUAUUCUCUUUUUUUUUUUUUUUUUUUUUUCAGCGUCGACUGUGGACUGUGGGAUCACUGUGAUGUACUAUAUCUCAACUAUCUCGAAGUGUCAGAACAUGGCACGUUGUUUUACAAAGAACACAAUGAAGGAAUAUCAUGCAAAAGUCAUCAACAAAUUUCUUCAUGAUGGAAAAAGUUGGAAAGAUGAAUGAUAUUUUGCAGAUGAACAAGAUUAUGAGUUAUGAUGUCAUGGCAUUAAAACUCCCCGGGGGUUAUGACAUGCAUGUGUGUUGGCAUUUGUUACAUUUAUGGAAUGCGAUAUUAUGUUGGACAAAAAUGUUUUUACGUUUUGUUUUAGUUUAUGAUUCAGAAGCUUUCUAACCAAGCAUUGUAAGAAUUAGAGGUUUUUUUUUUUUUUUUUGGAUGAACGGUGUAUCUACUAGCAUGUCAUUUUCCAGAUGCAAAUCAUGUUGUUGAGGCACCAAUGUUUCUUCAGACUAAUUAGUCAAUCCAAUUUUACUUUUUGCACCUGCUUGGAAUUUGCUAAUAUUGUACCUGUUGCAGGGGUCUUACCAAAGGUGUAGUAAAAAAAAGGGGGUUUACACUAUUUGGAAUCCAUUUUUAAUGGUGUACCUGGUGGAUGUCAUUUGUUUUGUCUGUAAACUAUUGUCAACCAUAGGCGAUAAAGGAGGAAGUUAUCCUUCUUUUUGGAGUAGACGUUUUAAGUAGAGCAGGGUAUUUACCAUACAUUACCCUUCAGAUAACCGAUUGGCAAGACGUCAAUUUCUUAUUAGUAUGAAUCAAACUGAUUCGGACACAAUUAUAUCCAAUCACACGGUUCUAAUUAAUAAUCAAGCAACAUAACAUAAUUUAAUUGAAACCAAUUGUUGUUUUUUAAUGAAUGAAAAACAUAUUCUUUCAUAAAUGUAUUUUCUCACUGUCAUUUGUCUUCAUCGUAGUUUAUCAUAGAAGGUACUGGAAUACUUAUUUGAAUGACAUGUUGGUUUCUUUCCAUCAUAUAUAAUUAAUUGUCUUUUUGCCACUGUCAGUUUGACCAAAACCAGGUACACUAUGAAGCAUGGGAGAGACCUAAAAAUGGGCAGGGUACCUGCAAAAAAUUCCUUGGAUGACAAUGAUUAUUAAAACCAAACUCACACAGUGUGCAAGAUGUCAAAAUAAUUUAAUGAUUAGAAAACCUGUAGGUAUAUAAGCUGUCUGUAGGUACAUAAUCAGUAUUUACCUACAUGGUGGGCUGAUGUUGAUUUUCUGUACUGGCAGAUAGGUCACAACUAACAAUCAAUAUACAAAAGUAUAAAACUUAAAAAUUGAUUCUAAAAAAAACAGGAUCAUGUCCAACAGAACCUGUUAUCAGGUUAUCAAAAAAAGCAAAAAUCAAACCAGGUUUAGAAACAGCAAAAAUCAAACCCACCUAUUUUCGUGUAGGUAAACUAAUACCCAGAUACCCAGGUUUGCUCUGGUUUUGCUCUAGUUUGUAUGCUGUAGGUCCGUAACCAGGUUUUAAAAAACCAAAAAUCAAACCAAUCUUUUUCGUUUAGGUAAACUAAUACCCAGAUACCCAAUUUUGCUCUGGUUUUGCUCUGGUUAGGACUAACAAUGAAAGGGGCUCCAUGUACAUAGAAGAGAAAGACGUUUUUUACCUGCAAUUUGACGGCAGACCACUCAUGCUUGCUAGUCCGUGUCGAAUGCUCCGGAAUUUUCAAAUGGAAUUUCAAUACCUGGAAUUUCUUGAACUACAACAGAAGAAACCCCUCAAUCCAAUUUCCACUUUUAGGAACCCUAAUCAGAACACCAAUCUCCAAACUAAAACCAUAAUCAAAACGUAUGACUAAGAAAAUUAACCCCAUAAUCAAAAUGGAUAAUUAAUUGCAGACACAAAUUCUGGAGAGAAUCACUACAAUAAAUAAGGGGACCAAAACUUCAAACACCAGCCUCUUACACGCUCAAUUGUAAAUAGGGGUAUUUUGGGAACUUAAAAAUCAUAAUAAAUCAGAUAUAUAGCUUAAUAAGGUAAUUUAAUGAGUUGAAUUCUAGUCAUGGGUUUUGGUUAUAGAAACAAAAAGUAAAGGUUGUAGGUAAGUCAAAUUGAAUUUAAAAGGGAUAAGACAAAUUUGCUAUAAUUUUUAAUGUGUACGUUUAUUGAUUCCUGAUGCCAUGCAACUAUAUUCAUAAAGACUUAAGGGCAUGUUUACGUAUCAGUAAUGGGUAUGGGAGGAAAGGGAAUGAUUUCCAUUCCUGACUUCCCCUGCGUUUACUUGCAAUCAGGAAUGAAAAAAUAAGUGGGCCCCACCUCAAAAUCCGUAAUCACAUUCCCUCAAAACUAGGUAUCAGAUCGACUAGGGGGGACUAGUCGAUACGAUUCCCAUUCCUGCUUUCUCUUAUUAACUUCCAAAAAUACCCUUACCACUUUACUAUAAUUCCAAAAUAACUCAAACCCUAAAAAAAAUAAAAAUACACGCUAGAAGGAGUUCAAACAACUCAAACCCUUAACGUUACAACACAUGUGACUUCUUUUGUGAAUUUUAUCUCACUUGAUCAAAGAUUUCUUAGCCAGGUUAGCUUGUCUAGCUUUUGGUUCAGAAUAAAUUGCUGAUAAUUUUCUUUGAUAACGGAUUCCCUCUUACUGAUUAAUUCAAAACCCCUUUUCCUAUAGCUUUUGGUUUUGGGUGAAUUUUAUAUAUGUGAUGUGGUGAAAAUGUGUAGGGCAUUUUAGUAAUCAAAUUAAUUUGGAUUCUGAUUCAUGAAAAUUAGUAAACAAUAACAAUGGGAAUCAACCCCAUUCCUUUACUAAUUUCGUAUGUUUAGUAAACAGCUUAAUGGGAAUGAUUCUUCCCAUACCGAUUCAGUAGUUCCCCGAUUCCUAAAUUAUCUGAUUCCUUACUUUCUCCAUUACUGAUACGUAAACAUGCCCAAGACUUUUUUGGACUUUAAGGCGUCGUUUGGUACACAGGCUUGGCUUGGACUGGCUUGGACUAAAUUUAGUACCAUGUUUGUUUCAUUUAAUUCUAAUCUUAGAUGGGAUUGCUAAUACCGGGCCCACCAAAAACACCUCCUUAGGAGGGGACUACUAAUCCCAUGUAGAAAGGGAGGAUUAGCUAGUCCUAUGUUUACCAAUGUAUGAGAUGCAUAUAUUAUAUUGUAAUACUAAUAACAUAUAUUACUAUUAUUAUUAUUAUUACAUACACAUAUACUAUAAUGUACAUAUAUACAUGUAUAUACACAUAUACAAGUAUAUAUAUACAUAUAUAUACAUAUAUAAUAUAUAUAAAUACAUAUAGAUAUAUACACAUAUAUUAUUAUUAUAAUAUACUCAUAUACACAUACAUAUUAAUAUUAUAAUAAUAGCAUACAUGUAUACAUGUAUAUAUGUAAUAUAUAGGGAGACUUUGGAAAAGCCCAAAGGAGAGAGAAAAAUUUUAAAAGAAGCCAAAAUGGACAAAAUUACCCUUAUUUAUUUUUUGAUUUCCUAAGGAAUCCUUUACAUUUGCAUGUCUUUUGUUUGAAAGUUGAGAGGUUUUUCUGUCUUUUUUGAAAAAGCUUUGGCUUUUUCCAAAAGUGAAAGUUUUUUUAUGAGUAAAACCUAAAUUUACUUAAUAUAUAUUAUAUUAUAUAUUAAUGUACAUAUAUACACGUAUAUACAUGUAUAUAUAUAAACACAUAUAUACAUAUAUAAUAUAUAAAUACAUAUAGAUAUAUACACGUAUAUUAUUAUUAUAAUAUACCCAUAUACACAUGCAUAUUAAUAUUAUAAUAAUAGCAUACAAGUAUAUUUGUAAUAUAUAUUAUUAUAAUACAUAUAUAUAAGUAUAUAUACAUAUAUGUGUAUAUAUUAUACCCAUGUAUGUAUUAUAAUAUACAUAUACACACGUAUAUAGACAUAUACAUUAUACAUUUAUAUUAUAUGUAUAUAUAUAUAUUAUAAUAUACAUAUAUACACGUAUAUACAUGUAUAUUAUUAUUAUAACAUACCCAUAUAUAUUAUCUAUUAUAAUAUACAUAUGUAUAUGUAUAUGUAUUAUACCCAUGUAUAUAUUAUAAUAUAUAGAUACACCUAUAUACACAUAUAUUAUAUACAUGUAUAUACGUAUAUAUAUGUAUAUUAUAAUAUAUAAUAUAUAUAUACAUAUAUUAUAUAUAGAUAUGUAUUUUAUAAUAUAUAUAUAUAAUAUAUAUGUAUAUAUACAUACAUAUAUAAUAUACAUAUAUACACACAUAUACAUGUAUAUUAUUAUUAUUAUUAUUAUUAUUAUUAUUAUAACAUACCCAUAUAUAUAUUAUAUAUUAUAAUAUACAUACAUAUAUAUAAAUAUAUGUAUAUGUAUUAUACCCAUGUAUAUUAUAAUAUACAUAUAUACACCUAUAUACACUUAUAUAUAUGUAUGUACGUUUAUAUUAUUUAAAAUAUAUAAUAUUAUUAUAAUAUACUUAUAUACAUGUAUAUACAUAUAUAUUAUAUAUAUUAUAAAAUACAUAUAUACAUAUAUAUAUAUAUAUUUUUGAAAAAAUAAAAAAAUUAUAGUCCUAGUCCAAGCAUACACCAAACGCAGGAUAAGUGUUAUCCAACUUAGACCAAGCCAAGUCAAGCCAAGCCAGUCCCUAAGCAUAGUCCAUGCCAAGACAGUCCUGUGUACCAAACGAAGGCUAGUAUAUAUUGGUCAAGUAACAAUAUAUGUUUGAUUUUUAUUGUUAUCCCCAAAACCUUUCUUGGAGUAGUUCCGGUCUUGCUCCCAAGUCACCUAAUAUAUAUUGUCUAUGUAUUACACUUUAGUGAUACCACAGGUGAGGGUGCAUGUUGAGAGUAACAGUCAUUAUAAUACACUGCUUUGAAAAUUUGAUUGUUUUCCACAUUUGACUUUUCAUUCGCGGCUGACUUUAAUUUGUCUUUGAGCAUCAUUUGUAUCCCCAUCCAAUUGUACAAGAGCAUUAUUUAAUUUCAAAGAUUCGGCAGCUCAUGUUUUUUACUAGGUUCCCACUUUAAAAGUCAGCAAUUUCAACUAGGCCAUAUAUAACUAGUACUUUUAGAAACUUCCUAAAUGUGUAUUUAUAGUGUGUGUGUUCUGGACAGAAGACGGAACAAAUUAACCACUUUGAGUUUCUGAAAGCAAUAAUGCUAGGGACACCAAAGUUGUGCACCGAAUUUGGAUCCCAAAUGACUUCACAUGACACAUCAUUACUUUGGUGUCCCCCUUAGGUUUUUUGUGUUUUCACAAAAUCUCUUGAGGUAUUGAAAAUUUCACUAACCCCACAGAUGUUUCAAAUUGUUUUCACAAAACCCCUCCCAUUGAUUUUCCACCUAAAAAUUGUUGAUGCUAUCACACAAAAAUCUCCAAAUGACAAUGUCAACUUAAAAUGUUAGAUUGUGCAUACACCGAGGUCUAAUCGUUGAGGUUAAUUUUGUUAUUUAAAUUUGAAAAAAAAAAUAAAAAUUUCAUGAAAUCAUCAAUUUUUUCGACGGGAAAUUAAAGAAAGGGAUUUUGUGAAAAUAAUUUGAAAUUUCAAGGGGUUUUUAGUGUAAGUUCUAAAACUUGAAGGGGUUUUAUGAAAAGAUUAAAAACCUCAAAAGGUGCCAAUGUAAAUAACUAUAUAUAAAAGCCAUGUAUUUCUGUCUGUUCAAGUCGCAAAGUCUCAUUCACAAUUCUUUACCAUCUUCCUGCAAUCAACAAAUGGACCAAGGACAAUAAGAAAACCAAAAUAACAAAUCGAUGGAUGCAUCAGUGGCUCGAGGCUAUGAGUUCUUGUAGAGAAACCUAGAGAGGAUGCACACGUUCCCUUUAUUUCACAAUUCAUUUCCCGACCUUUAUAUCAACUUUUUGAUAAAUUGAUUCUCAACUAUACUUAAAAUGUAUAUGCCACAAUCUGAUAAAUAACUAUCUAUACUCAAUCCGUUCAAAACUCAAACGAUAUCUAAUUUAAAAUUCGAGCACAUUUACGUGCUCGUUACAACUAGGGGACCACACUGGGACACAAUGCCCCUCUGCCACAGUACCCACGCGCCGCCACACGCGCCGACAUCGCGUGGGUGUCCAAAGCGAUACCGUUCGCCAAAAAACUUCAAAAUUAAGGGCAAUCCUUCCGGUCAUAGAUACUACUCGACAAGUGGAGCAUUUUUUUCAACUACAGAAACUUCUAAUUAGGACUGCAAGUGGCCGAAAUUUCAAUCCAAAAAUCGGCCAAACUUAUGGUUAUAAAUUGAACCACCUAAGCUAGAAAUUGAUCAAUUCCUAUCCAACCAUCGGCUAGAGCAUGAAAAAUGGGUAAGAAAGCAUACCUCACUCGACUGAAUUGGUGGUCGAAGGAGGGAGAUCAAAGCCGGAAAGUUUCAAACCAAAACCAGCCUUUCCGGUUGCUAGAAUGACAGUUGGCGGCAGGGGUGGGCUGGGUUGCGACGGCGGGACCUGGCCGGUUGUUUUGGGUCCAGUCUCGUGGCUUGCAGUGUAGCGUGGGGCUGUUAUGGCGAUUGGAGGCGUCGGCUGGAAAAACCAAAGGGGAGGGGGAGGUCGCGACAUAGGAGAGGGAGAGGGAGAGGGAGAGAGAGAGAGAGAGAGAGAGAAGAGAGAGGGAGCUUUAAAAAUCAGACUUUUCAAAAUUACAGUUUUGCCCCUCAUCGUAUUUUGAUCAUAUUUUCUUCAAUACUACUCGGAUUUGAGUCCACCACAUGUCUACGGACUCAUUUCGACGUGUUCUACGCAACGGCAAUGGUACAAGCAGAAUCUCCAAAUUCCUCCCUAAUCAAAAAGUCAACUUUUAUACUAAUAAAAUAUUCCAGGGGCAAAAUAGUCUGUUAUUUGAAUAAAUUAAUAAUUAAAAAUUUAUUUAGGACCAUGUUGUUACAAUCUAUCCCCCUUAUAAAAAUUUCAUCCUCGAAAUUUCAUGCUUGUCACUCGAAGAGAUAAGGGUACUGAGCCCGUAUUUACUACUCGGGUUCCCAAGUAUCUUCCUCCACAACUUGAUAUGACGAGAACUUAACUUCCUACGUUUCCUGAACCCCCGCAUGAUGAAACUUCAAUCCGAGGUUCACUCAACUUCAAAACAUUUCAAAAACUGGCCUUUUAAACAUGAAUAUCACCAAAAUGCAAACUUAAUUGCCGGAACUCUAGUACCUUUCCCAACAUUGUUCGCUAUUAAGAACUCUAGUCCCUUGAUCAAGUCCUGAUGAAACCAGAACUGGCACUUGCUAAACUUGGCAUACAGUUGCCUCAUCCUCAAUGUCUUCAGCGCAAUUUCUAAGUGCUUCAUAUGCACCUUUUGACUUUUAGAAUAUACUAGGAUGUCGUCUAUGAACACCAUCAUAAAGCGAUCCAAGUAACAUCGGAACACUCUGUCCAUAAGAUCCAUAAACGUAGCUGGCACAUUAGUCAACCCGAAUGGCCAUAUCUUGUCCAGAAACCGGUCUUAGGCACAUCCUCCUCUCUGAUUCGUAACUAAUGAUAACCUCAUCUCAAGUCAAUCUUAGAGAAUACCUUGGCACCCCUCAACUGAUCAAACAUAUCAUCUAUACAAGGCAAAGGAUAUCUGUUCUGCACAGUGACCUUGUUCAACUGCAUGUAAUCAAUACAUAAUCUCAUAGUGCCAUCCUUCUUCUUUACAAACAAAACUGGAGCGCCUCCAAGGUGAAAAAAUGGGUAGAAUGAAACCCUUAUCCAGCAGCUCUUGUAACUGUGUCUUCAAUUUCCUCAAUUCAGCUGGUGCCAUUCUAUACGGUGCUCGAGUGAUCGGAUUUAUUCCUGGAACAAGCUCAAUAGUAAACUUGAUCUCCAAGUGAGGAGGUAACCCAGGAAGAUCCUCAGGAAACACAUCUAGAAAUUCCCUUGCCACUGGAAUAUCCUCCAACCUCAAUCAAUUAUCCUAGGUAUUAAUAAUAUGAGCUAAGUAUCCUGAACACCCCUUUAUGAGCAACCGUCUUGCCGUCAUGGUUGAAUUGAGGCAAGAUGGAAGAACUCUACGCUCACUAUAAAAGGUGACCUCAGCUUGUCUAGGACUACGGAAUAUGACCUCCUUUCGAAAAUAGUCCACUGAGGCACGAUGCUUGGCCAACCAAUCCAUGCCCAGAAUAACAUCCAAGUCUACCAUAUCCAGAGGAAUCAAAUCUGCCUCCAGAAAUACAGCCCCCCACUAACACCAAUCUGUCUCUAUACACUGUACCUAUCAUAAAGACAUCUCCUAUAGGUACAGAGAUCGUCAGCUCAUUCUGUAGAGCUGAGAGUCUCACACCUAUAAUCACAUCUGGUGACGCAUGUGCCUCCUGCUGAGACUGUUAUAUACUCUGCCUGUAGCUUUGGAACAUCCACCACGUCCCCUCUGUUGGUUGCCACCUCUGCUAGCUACACUAGUUUGGACCCUACCACUGAGCACCACUCUAUACAUCAGUCCCCUGGGUCAGCCCAGCAAUAAUCUCUCUGCCCUGGAGGAGCAUCGGGCACUCCCUCUGAAAAUGUCUAGACUGUCCACAAUGAUAGCACCCAAUGGCGCCCUGUUGACAAAGCCCAGAAUGGUAUUUGCCACACAUAGCGCACCGGGGGCGACUCCUCCUGCUAGCGAUUGGCUGUAGCUGCCUCCCAGCACCUCUAGCUGUACCACCUCUAAAGCGGUUCCCAGAACUACCACUCUGGUUAGAGCCUCCGCUGGAACUGACUCCAGCUCGAAAACACCAAAUUUGGAACCUCUUGCGUUAAAAAAAAAUAGGGGCUAAGCAACAAAGGGGGAGGUCGCAACAGGGGAGAGAGAGAGAGUUUUAAAAAUCUGACUUUUUAAAAUUACGAUUUUGCCCCUCAUCGUAUUUUGAUCGUAUUUUCUUCAAUACUACUCGGAUUUAAGUCCACCACAUGUCUACGGACUCAUUUCGACGUGCUCUACGCAAAGGUACAAAAGGAAUCUCCAAAUUCCUCCCCUAUUCAAAAAGUCAACUUUUAUACUAAUAAAAUAUUUCAGGGGGGAAAUAGUCUUUUAUUUGAAUAAAUUAAUAAUUAAAAAUUUAUUUAAGACAGGGUUGGUACACAAGUUGCAUUUUGGUCCCUCAACUAAAUUAUUCAUUCAAAUAAUCUACCAACUCUUUAUUAAUCAUCGUAUUGGUCCUACCGUUAUAUUUUUUGUUAAAUUUAGUCAUGUGGGCAGCACAUGCUACAUUUGUGGAGGUAAAUAAGACUUUUGACACUCAAAUCCCAACCCCCACCCCCUAGCCACAUCCACGUCAACAGCCCCCAGACCUGAACCCAGCACCCUAUCUAGCCGAACCCAUUUUGUCCCUGUCUCUUCCUUUCUCUCCUCUUUUUCUCUCUGUCCCUCUCAUCCUUUCUCUCCCCUCCGCCUUCAGUUUCCUAAAUAAAGAAUUUUCAGUCAUCAUCUCCAUCAAAACUAUAGCUAGGAAAACACCAUGGCUAGCCGACGCGACAAAAUCUUGAAAUCGUCAGUCUACAACGGCUUCUCGCCGGGAAAGAGAGAGAUGGAGGGAGAGGAGGAGGGAGGGGAAAAGAGGGUUGGGUGCAGGGAGGACAAGAUGGGCAUUGGGCGAUGGUUGUGGGAGAUUAUUUGAAGAAUCUAUGUAGUCAUUAGAUUGGGGUGGAGAAAUUAUUUGGAGGAGCUGUUGGAGUGAGAUCAGAAGGAACACAUUAAGCCCCGUUUACCUAAUUUUUUUUUUUUUCAAUUUUUUUAAAAAAUAUAUAGAUAGGCCUCCUUUUACACUGUUCUUCAUUUCCACAUAGCUUCAAUGGAUCUGUACCCAAAAAUGAUAUAAUAUGAUGAAAAUCGAAUCACAGUUUCAAUCUUCAAACGUCCCAAAUAAAUUAUUGGUUUUAAUGAACAAUAUCAUGAGGUCCAAAUGCGUCCUAAGGUCCAAAAAAUUUAUUGGUUUCAAUGAACAAUAUCAUGGGAGAGGGAGAGAGGUUUUUUUUAUUCUUUUAAUUUUUAGUUUUAAAUUAUUUAGUAUUUUAUUUAAUUGGGCUGUUUUAUCCCUAGAUUUGACACCAACAUUGACAGAAUGUGGGCUCGUUUGGUACACCGUAUUAGACUCUAAAUCAGAGUAAAUAGUCCAUGUCAGGGGUUUGGUGUCAACUUGUAUUAUUUAAUUAUCUGACUAUUUUAUACGGGUUGGGCUUUUAAUACUCUCCUUACCUGACUAAUUAAUACAACCCACACGCCCCGAUUUAGAUAAUACACGCUUAAUUAUACGGCUAGGGAAAAAGAACACGCGCUCUACGAGAAAAAUCAGAUGCUCUUUUCAUCUUCUUCUCCCUAGAGUUCUUCUCUACAGGUUAUUCUCUUCACUCUUCUCUAGGUAUCCAUCUCUCACUCUUCUCUCUUUUUCAUGCUCUCUCUCUCUCUCUCUCUCUCUCUCUCUCUCUCUCUCUCUCUCUCUCCCUUUUAUGAGAUACUACAAUUAUGAUAAUGGGUUAUAUGAAAAAAAAAAAAUCUUGGUAAAAACAAUUGAAAACAAAUCUUGUCAUAUGAAUCUUACCAAAAAAAAAAAUUUCAUGUCAUUUGAAUUUCAUGUUAUCCGAAACAGCACCAAACACAAUAUAACUUAGUCAUACUAUUUAUCCAGAAUAGCACAUCACCUUAUAAUAUUAUGAAAUUAGUCAGUAUAGUCAAACGGUGGGACCAAUGCGCCGAUUAAUAAAGAGUUGAUGGACUAUUUGAACGAAUAAUUUAAUUAAAUGACCAAAAUACAACUCGGGUAUAAAUUUGAGGACCAUUUAAAUAAAUAACCCUUUUUUUUAUUUUCAUCAAAAGCUUGACUUUGAACAUGAGCAAACCAAGUUUAAACUGGCUACUAUUUCAAUCCACAAAGCUUGGCCAUUUAUGGUCCCCAGACUAUUGAAGCGAACUGAUCAUUUAUGGUCCACUAAUAAUGCAACAAUUAGUUAGUAGAAAUCUAAAUAUUGCUACUCAAAUAAAAAUAUGUUUAUGGAUAUUUUGAUUAUGUGCAUAUAUAUAUUAUUAAUUAACUCAAGAUAAUGUACAUAAUAUCAUGAAAAUCAUAUUAAUACGGGGUAAGUAAGUGCAGAAAAUAGAGAACAAAAAAACUCUAAUGCACAAUGUCUGAACAUCAUGUUUUUUUUUAGUACAAGUGAUAGUCUACAUUAUAGGGAAGAGGAAUUUCUCACACUCACAAAACUAUGAUGUCGUGGAGAUUCGAACAUGAGACCUCUCUUUUGCAAGUCAAGGACCCUAUUGGCUUUUUGGUACCUUAUGCCAUGCAACCAGAUUUUAACCAAAAUAAAAAAGAAAUACAUGAUUAAUCUGUUGACGUGAGUCUCCUAAUUAAUCAAGGAGAUUUACUUCCUUGAUUAAUUAAGGGAUUUACUUUCCUAUUUUUUAUAUAAGUGAUAAAUUAUUGUACAAUUAGGAGAUACUUUCCUAAUUCUUUACUAUAUCUAAUUCCUUGUAAAACCUUCAUAUGUAAACUCCUAUAUAUACCUCCUUAUGGCGAAGAAUAAAGAACAACCCAAAGUAUUCAAACCAUAUUCAUAUUUCAGCAUGGUUUUAGAGCAAUCGAUCCUCGGUUGUCUCUAAAUUCUCAUAUCAAAUUUUCUUCAGACACAAACCCUAAAUCCUCAUAUCAAAUUUCUUCAAACUCAAACCCUACAUUAUAUUCCUCAUCUUUAUCUUUCUCAAAUUCAAAUCUCCAUACACAUAUCCCUCAUACCUUUCAAUUCCUAAACACAUAUUUUUUAUCCUUCCGCUACCAUGGAUACCAUCUCGAUUUUGCAUAUGUCCGUCGCGAAGCUCAACAACGACUGACCAUGACCAGUACUCCAGACACUGCUGUCCUAGCCACCCAACGUCCAUAGGGUCCUUCGACUUCUAUCACUGGUGCUUCUCAGACUCAAGUCACAAGCUCUUGUAGGUUUUUUCCCACUGGGUUUUUCCAAGUAAGGUUUUAAUGAGGCAACCAAUCUAGGGACAUGUGGUCUUCAAAGGGGAGUGUUAUAAAGAAGUGAAGCUCAUAUAGAUAAAGGUAGAGGGUAUUAGUCAAAAGAUGGAGAUAAAGCUAGAGGGUAUUAGUCAAAAGAUGGAAUAAUGAUGUUGGGGAGAAAUCAUUAUGUCUCCCUUAAAGCCAUUUGCUUUGCCUAUAAAUAGGCAUUAUAUUUGUUUGUAAACACACACAAAUGAGAGAAGAGAAUAGAGUGAGAGUCAGAGAAAAGAGAAAGAGUGAAGUCUAUCUAAGGAGAAAUUCUGUCAGUGUAAACACCACAAAGAGAAAUAUAAUUCGACUCCCAAUAUUACAGUGGCACUUCUCAUACUCCAAUUAUUCUAGUUUUAUAACACGUUAUCAGCACGAUAGUCUCUCCUUUUUAUUUCUGAAUUUUUCCCAACUCAACACUAUGUGGUUAUUUCUCUGUCUCCUUUCUGUCAUAUGUCUGCUCUCACUUUACUACUACGAUGACAUGCAAACUUUCUUUUUUGUGUUCUCACAAUUUUUAUGUUGUUUCAUCCAUGCUUGUUUAAUUUACUUCUUUGUAACGUAAUUUGGAAUGGUGCGGUUUUUAUACCCCAUCCUGUUAUUUUAUGGUGGUGUAAUUUUUUACCCAUCGCGUUGUAACACAAAUUAUUAUAAUAAAAUGAUGGUGUGAUCUUAAAACCCAUCUAUUAUAUCUUGAAUAGUGGCGCAGUUAUAUUGCCCACAAUAUAUGAUAUAUUACGCACUUCAUAUAUAUUAGGUGGUGGUCUUUAUCCCCACAUUUAUUUUAUUUAUGGUAUGGAGUAGGUUUAUUACCCAUACGGCAAUAUUUAUUUAAAGGUGUGGCGCGGGUUUAUCGUCCACACAGCUACCUUUACUUUUAUUUAAAAAGUAUGGAGCAGUAUUAGUGCCCAUACAAGCACAUUUACUUUUAUUUAAAGUAUGAUGUGGAAUUAACCCUCAUACUUUAUGAAUUUACUUUACCGCACAUUUACUUUUAUUUAAAGUAUGACAUGGAAUUAACCCUCAUACUUUAUAAAUUUACUUUACCGCAUAUUUACUUUUAUUUAAAGUAUGGUGCGGAAUUAACGUCCAUACAGCAAGCAAUUUACUUUAUAAAUUUACUUUACCGCACAUUUAAUUUUAUUUAAGGUAUGGUGCGGGUUUAUCGUUCAUACAAGCAAAUUCAUAGCACUCUAUUUUUAUCAUCAAUUAAUAUACCUGAAUAAUGAGGGCCUAAAAUUCCUAUUAAUAAGUGGCUUAAUGUCCCAGAUCCCGAACCUAAAGUUUUGGAUGGCAAAUUUGGCAAAACUAGAGUUUGCUGUCUCGGAUCUUUCUGAGGACAACUAUUUAUCAUGGGUCCUGGAUGCCAAAAUCCAUCUACGAGCCAAUGGCCUCGGACAAACAAUUGUAGAUAAGAAUGAUGCUUCGCCUGAAGAGAAUGCGAAGGCCAUGAUCUUUCUUCGCCGCCACAUCCAUGAAGCGCUGAAGAGCGAAUAUGUGGUGGUUGAUGAACCAUUGGUUCUAUGGAAAGCUCUAGGUGAAAGAUACGAUCACUAGAGGAUGGUGACUCUCCCAAGAGCUAGAUACGAAUGGACUCACUUGAGAUUUCAAAAUUUCAAGUCAGUGUCCGAGUAUAACUCUGCUAUGCACAGAAUUACCUCAUUAAUGAGGCUAUGUGGUGAAAAUAUAUCUAAGGAGGAUAUGCUCGAAAAAACUCUGAGCACUUUUCAUCCUUCAAAUGUCCUCCUUCAGCAGCAAUACAAACAUAGCGGUUUCAAGAAGUACUCGGAACUUGUAUCUUGCCUCUUGUUAGCUGAGCAGAAUAAUGAGCUCUUAUUAAAGAAUCACCAAUCUCGCCCAACGGGCUCAGCACCACUUCCUGAAAUAAAUGCUGCAUCUCAGGAAGUGAAUGCCACUUCAUCUCGUGGCAGUAUCAACAAACGUGGGCAAGGGGGCAAGCGUGGCUGCUGGCAAGAAAGCAAAAAAGAUCGUGGUGCUCGUUCAGAUGGUUUAGUUCCAAGGAGCAGUCCAUCCACGAAUGGCAAAAAUUCAUCCCGUAAUAAGGGAAAGGCACAGACGAGCCAUGUGCCUAGCAAUGUUGAAAGCACUUGUCACAGAUGUGGUGCAAAGGGACAUUGGGUGCGCGCAUGUCGUACACCCAAGCAUUUGGCGGAUCUCUAUCAAGCUUCACUUAAGAACAGGAAAGUGGAGAUAAAUUACAUUGAUCAUGCUCCGCCAGCCACAGAUGGCUCAUCAAAAAUAUAAGACGCAUGUUUCUGAUUUUAUUACUGAAAGAGGGAAUGAAGCUUAUGGGUCUGAUUUCUUCUUUUUGAUUCAGCUUAUUUUACUUAUUUGAAGGCAUAGAUGUAAAUUAUGGAUGCCCUCAAAACAAAGGCUAUGGCAAAAAUAUUUGUCUCGCAGAUAGCGUGACUACUCAUACGAUCCUUCAAGAUCAGAAGUAUUUCUCAAAAUUAAUGCUUACAAAAGCAAAGGUAACAACCAUAUCAGGUCCUGCAGAUCUGAUUGAAGGCUCAGGAAUAGCCCAAAUUAUGUUACCAAAUGGAACAAUACUGUCCAUUCCAGAUGCUUUGUAUUCAUCUAACUCCAGAAGGAAUCUGUUGAGUUUCAAAGAUUUACGUUUGAAUGGCUACCAUGUUGAAACAAAGAAAGAGGAAAACAUGGAAUAUCUUUGCAUUACCUCCAGUGACACCCAAAAGCGUAUACUAGAGAAGCUUUGUGCGCUCUCAUCAGGGUUGUAUUAUACAAACAUACGGACAAUUGAGGCACAUAGUGUCAUGGACCAAGAGUCCAUCGACUCAAAUGUUUUUAAGCUUUGGCAUGACAGGUUGGGUCAUCCUGGAUCCGCCAUGAUGCGCAGGAUGAUUACCAACUCUAAAGGACAUCCCUUGUUGACUAAACACAUUAUGUUAUCAAGUGACAUCUUUUCCCAAGUUUGUUCACAAGGGAAGUUGGUGAUCAGACCAUCACAACCAAAGGUUGAUGUUGAGUCUCCAUCAUUUUUGUAGAGAAUUCAAGGGGACAUUUGUGGACCUAUUCAUCCCCCAUGUGGACCAUUUCAGUACUUUAUGGUCUUGGUGGACGCAUUUACCCGAUGGUCACAUGUUUGUCUUUUGUCCACUCGAAAUAUGGUAUUUGCUAGGCUUUUGGCUCAGAUAAUUAAAUUACAAGCCCAAUUCCCAGAUUAUCCCAUUAAGUCAAUCAAACUCGAUAAUGCUAGUGAGUUUACAUCUCAGACUUUUGAUGACUACUGCAUGUCACUAGGCAUUGACAUUGAACAUCCUGUUCCCCAUGUACAUAUUCAAAAUGGCUUGGCAGAAGCUUUAAUUAAGCGCCUUCAGUUGAUAGCACGCACUUUGCUAAUGAAAACAAAGUUGCCAGUUUCUGUUUGGGGAUAUGUCAUUUUACAUGCAGCAUCACUUGUGCGAUUGAGGCCCGUCGCCAACAAUCAAUAUUCUCCAAUACAACUCGUAUUGGGGAAUCAACCAAACAUUUCACAUUUAAGAGUUUUUGGGUGUGCAGUAUAUGUGCCCAUUGCACCACCGCAACAUACUAAGAUGCGCCCUCAACGCAGAUUGGGAAUUUAUGUUGGUUUUGAUUCACCAUCUAUCAUCAGAUAUCUGGAACCCCUGACGGGUGAUAUUUUUACCCACGAUUUGCGAAUUGUCAUUUUGAUAAGACAAUCUUCCCACCAUUAGGGGGAGAAAAAUCUGUGUCUAAAGAACAAGGCAAACUCAUUCCUGAAGAACGACAUGAAUUAUCGUGGAAUGUACCCACAUUGUCUCAUCUCGAUUCUCAUACUGCUCAAUGCGAAAACGAAGUGAGAAGGAUCGUUCACCUCCAAAGUAUUGCAAAUCAGAUGCCAGAUGCAUUUAAUGAUGCAGCAAAAGUGACAAAAUCUCAUAUCCCAGCUGCAAAUGCACCGCACGGAUUGAUGUCCAUAAUGGACAAAACAAUGUGCUAGCAAAUGGUUCAUCUGUUGCACGCCUGAAGCGUGGCAGACCACUAGGCUCAAAGGAUUCAGUUCCUCGAAAGAGGAAGUUGAUGGACAAAAUGAAUCCAAAUGAAAUAAAUAGAGAGCCCACAAUUCAUAAUUCAAAUGCCCCCAAAGAGGGACAGGUACUUCCUGAAAAGGAAAACGUCAUUGGUGAGACAAGUGCCCCUGGAGUGGCAACUGUACCUAAAAGUCAAGAAAUCUCCAUAAAUUAUACGUCCACGGAUGAAUUGUGGAAUAGAAAUGAGAUGAUCAUCGAUGAUAUAUUUGCAUUCUCAGUGGCUGCUGAGAUCAUAAAAAAUGAUGAUAUUGAGCCGUGCUCUAUUGAUGAAUGUACACAGAGGCAAGAUUGGCCUAAGUGGAAAGAUGCAAUCCAGGCAGAAUUAAAUUUUUUGGAAAAAAGGAGUGUUUUUGGACAUAUUGUUCCAACUCCACCCAAUGUGAACCCUGUAGGUUACAAGUGGGUAUUUACAAGAAAGCGCAAUGAGAAAAAUGAGAUCUCAAGGUAUAAAGCGCGACUCGUUGCGCAAGGUUUUUCACAAAAGCCUGGAAUUGAUUAUGUGGAAACGUACUCUCCAGUAAUGGACACAAUUACAUUCCGUUACUUAAUAAGUUUGACGGUUUCAGAAAAACUUGAAAUGAGACUCAUGGAUGUCAUUACCGCAUAUCUGUAUGGAGAAUUGGAUAUGAAAGUCCCAGAAGGAUUCAAGCUGCUUGAAGCAACCAGAAAUAAACCAUAGGGCAUAUUCUCAGUUAAAUUGAGAAGAUCAUUAUAUGGGCUAAAACAAUCUGGACGAAUGUGGUACAAUCGUCUCAGUAAGUAUUUACUGAAGGAAGGAUACACAAAUGAUCAUAUUUGCCCAUGUGUGCUUAUUAAGAAAUCAGAGUCUGGAUUUGCGAUAGUGGCAGUAUAUGUCGAUGACAUGAAUCUAAUUGGAACUUCUGAAGAGCUUCAAAAGACUGCUGAUUAUCUCAAACGUGAGUUUGAGAUGAAAGACCUUGGAAAGACAAAAUAUUAUCUUGGCUUGCAGAUUGAGCACAGUGCUAAUGGAAUUUCGGUGCAUCAAUCAACUUAUAUUGAAAAAGUAUUGAAACGGUUUGGCAUGGAUAAAGCCCAUCCACUUAGCACUCUAAUGGUCAUUCGGUCGCUUGACACUAAGAAAGACCCAUAUCGUCUAAAAGGGGAUGAUGAAAUGGUCCUUGGUCCAGAAGUACCAUAUCUUAGUGCAAUAGGUGCUUUAUUGUACCUAGCACAAUGUACCAGACCAGACAUAUCAUUUUCAGUAAAUCUGUUAGCAAGGUACAGUUCUGCUCCAACAAGGCGACAUUGGACCGGCAUCAAACAUGUUCUACGAUACCUUCGUGGGACAACAGACAUGGGCUUAUUCUAUUCCAGUGAAUCGACCAACGCCUAGAGUAUUGUUGGGUAUGCUGAUGCAGGAUAUCUCUCUGAUCCACAUCAAGGACGAUCACAGACUGGGUAUGUAUUUACAUGUGGAGGAACUGCAAUCUCAUGGUGCUCAAUGAAACAAACACUAGUGGCCACAUCUUCCAAUCACUCAGAAAUACUUGCCCUCCAUGAAGCCAGUCGUGAAUGCGUUUGGUUAAGGUCGGUGAUCCAUCACAUCCGAAGCACAUGUGCCCUACCCUCAGCAACAGACACUCUAACAAUCUUGAAUGAGAACAAUGCAGCUUGUAUUGCUCAGAUCACAGGAGGGUAUAUCAAGGGUGACAGGACUAAGCACAUAUCACCAAAGUUUUUCUACACACAUGAGCUCCAGAAGAGUCAAGAAAUCAAAGUCAGACAAAUCCGCUCAAGCGAUAACCUGGCAGACCUCUUCACCAAAUCAUUGCCGAAAUGUACAUUCCAAAAGUUAGUGCAUGGCAUCGGAUUACGACAACUCUACAAGCAAUCAAGUUGGAGCAUGCAAAAUCAGGGGGAGCAUUCAAGAGUCCUCUAACACAGGACAUAUGCUCAUUGUACUCUUUUUCCUUCGACUUGGGUUUUUCCCACCGGGUUUUUCCUAGCAAGGUUUUAACGAAGCAACAUGAGCGCAUUACCCUUAUGUCCCAAAUAAAGUUGUACUCUUUUUCUUUCGCUUAGGUUUUUUCCCACUAGGUUUUUCCAAGCAAGAUAUUAAUGAGGCAACCAAUCUAGGGACAUGUGGUCUUCAAGGGGGAGUGUUAUAAAGAAGUGAAGCCCACAUAGAUAAAGCUAGAGGGUAUUAGUCAAAAGAUGGAGAUAAAGCUAGAAGGUAUUAGUCAAAAGAUGGAAUAAUGAUGUUGGGGAGAAAUCAUUAUGUCUCCCUUAAAAGCCAUUUGCUUUGCCUAUAAAUAGGCAUUAUAUUUGCUUGUAAACACACACGAAUGAGAGAAGAGAAUAGAGUGAGAGUCAGAGAGAAGAGAAAGAGUGAAGUUUAUCUAAGGAGAAAUUCUGUCAGUGUAAACACCACAAAGAGAAAUAUAAUUCGACUCUCAAUAUUACAGUGGUACUUCUCAUACUCCGAUUACUCUAGUUUUAUAACACUUUCCUAAUUCUUUACUAUAUCUAAUUCCUUGUAAAACAUUCAUAUGUAAACUCCUAUAUAUACCUCCUUAUGGAGAAGAAUAAAGAACAACCCAAAAUAUUCAAACCAUAUUCAUAUUUUAGCAUAAUCAAGUGUUCAGAUUUUAACUAUUUUUUAUUUAAAAAAAUCCCCUAAAUGCAGAGGCUCUGUUCCAAGUUACCAUCCCUAAUUCUAUCGAUUGAUCCCUAAUUCUAUCAUAGUUGCUAUGAGUUUGGACAAAGGAAAUUUCCAACUUCAGAGUAGACACCUUUUUCACUCAUAUAAAGUUGCACCCAUUGGUCGUUAAACAAUCUUGGUCUUGGGGUCUUUUAUUUUUUAUUUUUCAUCAAAAGCUUGACUUUGAACAUGAGCAAGCCGAGUUUGAACUGGCUACUAUUUUGGUCCACAAAUCUUGGCCGGCAUGAAAAUGAUGCCCUGACCAAUCCUUUUACCUCUUCAAUGACUUAAAUUAAUUUCUCUCACAAGCUUGACUUUGAAGAGUUUAAUACUACUUCUCUAGGAUUUUCAGGCACCUCAGAUUCUCAAGCACAAAGAUAGAAUAAAGAUGUCAGAGUACCUUCCUCCAGAAAUCAUAACCCAAAUUCUUCUUAGGCUACCCAUCAAAUCUCUUCUUCAGUGCACCUCUAUCUGCAAAUCUUGGAACUCCCUAAUUAAACACACUAGAUUCAUCAACAACCACCUUAACCUCAAUUUAGACAAAACAAGC